CGCGCCGGCCCAAUAAAUUAGCCAUCCAUCUCUUGUCGUUGUCAUGAACAAUCUGGGCUUGUAUUGUGUGGUACUCUGUUUUUUCUUGCGGGUGCGUGUGGUACUCUUUGGACCAUGUAUAUUUACCGUUUUCUCUCUUCGUUGUAUUUAUUGGUUAUGUGUGAGAUCCAUGGCAGCGGGCGCGUAGUGUGAAGUACCUGUGGCUGCAAGCAAGGUUUUUUUUCUUUUUCGGGUAACGUUUCUUUUUCUUUUGCAGAUGUAAGUGUGUGCAUUAGUGCAUGACAUUGUGUGAUAGACGUCCAUGUCGCAGCCGCGAAGUGCAUGAAUAGAGGAUGAAAACCGGCCGGGCCAGACGGGCUUGCAGAUCGAGUCCGGAAAAGCGUACACAUGCACGCACCGCAUCCAUGAUGUAAUCCUACAUGAAGAUACUAAACCCUAGGUGAAGAUACUAUUUUUUGUGAGUAGAAAUGGAGUUUAUUCCAUAGUGAUAGGAUUACAGUGUGCCAUUACAAAAGUGUCAAUGAAAGUAGGGCCCUGAUGUAGCCAACUAGUCAGGCUACCUCAAUGCGACCCAAGUUAGCAAGCGAGCAACCCUAUCCUGAACGUGCUAUUUUUUUUCCAAGAGCACGCAAAGCACGUGCCUUACUUCUAUACUCCCUCCGUCCGAAAAUACUUGUCAUCAAAAUGGAUAAAAAAUGAUGUAUCUAGAACUAAUAUACAUCUAGAUACGUUCCCUUUUAUUCAUUUUGAUGAUAAGUAUUUCCGGACGGAGGGAGUAGAAGGGAGCAAAACAAUUUACAAGAGGUCUAGCGAGCGCGAACACUCGAAGACAACACCCACCACCACUCCUACAAUGAACCCAAAACUAAUCUCUCACAAAACGUUGUAAGCUACCUCCUCCUUGGACCACCAUCUUCCAAUCUCUGAGUUCAUCAAGAAUCUUCUUCGCGAGUUCCUAUGCAUCCACCCGUUGAGGGCCUGCUCCUCCAUCCACCCGUUGAGGGCCUGCUCCUCCUUGACAUGGCCAAAGAAAGCUAUCAGACGCCUGUUCAUCCUGAUGCACGGUGGCAAUGGCGUGUCUCAAGUGCAUGAGCUGAAUAAACGCCAUGUGUGAGGAGACGAAGGGGACGUCCAGUGACGAUUGCUCCUCCUCUAAAGCCCAUUGAACGGUCCUACGUUCAUUUUCGAGAUGGUACGAACGUGCUAUUUUGACAUGAACAAACUCCCGAUCCUCCAUUAGUAUCUUGAUUUUAUUAACCAGGUAACGUCUAGCCAGUGUAGAAUCAAAUAAAGCCGAUAGAACAAUGACUUAGGAGGUUUGACCAUUGUAGGGCUAAACCAAUGCCACCCAUCAAUGCAUGAAUCUCCGAUUCCAGCGCAUCAUUACUAUGGAAAAGGUGUCGACGGGACGCAAAGACAGCGCCUCCAUCUGCAUUUCUGAGUAAUAUACCAGCUCCAGCCAUGUCGCCAGCCUCAGAGAAUGAGCCAUCAGAUGAAAGAGCCGCCAAUUCGUCGGUGGUGGGGGCACAAUGGUUCGGGUACUUUGACUAUUGUCUUUUGACAAGAGGGCAUCCUGGCGAUAGGGUCUUCCCCUUGUUAAUCUCGUUUGUGCUCACUUGAUGUACAUAGUGUAGUGAAUACAAGUAGCUACUUCCUCCGUCCGGGAAUACUUGUCAUCAAAAUGAAUAAAAAGGGAUGUAUCUAGAAUUAAAUAUAAUUCUAGAUACAUCCCUUUUUAUUCAUUUUGAUGACAAAUAUUUCCGGACGAAGGUGGUACUUAAGAAUUUUUUGGAGGCUUCAGGAGAUGGAAUUGUUUUACUAUAGACUAGGUUUGUACGAAGGCUCCACAUACGCCAAAUGAGCAUUAUGAUUAUGUCUCGAACCUUGCUAUAGAUUUCCCACCAACAAGUGUAAUAUCCAUUCGUCACCAGUGUGGAGGACUUGCUCUUUGGGAGCUGUCGGCGUAUAAAGUUUGGACCUUUCUUAGUAUUUCAUGCUUGUGCAUGGGCACUUGCAGCCUCACCCGCGGCAAGGCUUGACAGGGACAGCUGGAAGCAAAUGUGAGACGACCAAGACGGCGUUCAGGCCAAUAAAUAAAGAACAGAAGACAAGCUGAGCCCCCGGCAAGAUUCUUGCCGGGAUGGUCUGCGAAGCACAAGCAAGACCAUCACCCUUGAAGUUGAGAGCUCUGACAUCAUCGACGAUGUCAAGACCAAGAUCCAGAGGCGUCUGCAUGGUGACAUGCAGAAUUUUUUGAAGACCAGGAGGCAACGUCCCUAGCAAGGUUCUUGAAGGGAACGUUUGCGAAGCCCCGGCAAGAUCCUUGCCGGGGACGUUCACGGGCCCACAGCGAAGCUCGCGCACGGCAAGGUUCCGCCGCCCUGCCACCGAUCUAGCACAGCAACCAGCAUGCCAGCUUGGCAAGCACCUGCGUGGUGGCAUGCAGAUCUUCGUGAAGAUCCUGCCACCGCUCCAACGCAGUGGCUAGCCAGUCAGCUUGGCAUUGCAUGCCUCAUCAUCUUGGGUGCGUGCCAAGACGGGGUGAGGUGGCGACGGACGGGACGGGCUCUGUUUCCGUCCCCGAUCAAGUUAGGGGGCACGUAAGAGUGCAUUUAAUGUGUUUGUCCUAAGACGUUAGUGAUAAGCACGGACACUGUUGCAACUUUACACCUCUUGUGUGCUUGAUCGCCACUUUGGUAGCCCCUUUGUAUAAAAGGAGGCCCAAAGCGAUACAGGAGGGGACUUUUGGACUUUUCCGGCCCAGUUUGCACGCGUAGCAACUAGCCGAAGCUCAAGAACACUGAAUACACUCAAAGCAGGACUAGGGUUUUACGCUUCUCAGAGGCCCGAACCUAGUUAAAAAUCUAUCGUGUUGAUCGUUAGAUCUACUCUUUGUGCACCCCUCUUUCCCUGCCAGAUCAUAGAAGGGAUCCACGAGAUCCCAUAGGUGUCGUUUCCCCGACAUCUUUCGCGCGCCAAGUAGGGGGAAGAGGUUGUGCAAACCUGAUCUAGUAGUUUAGCGCGUUAGUUCCUCAAGAUCUUCAUCGUCAUGCUUCCCAAGAAGAAGGGCAUCACGGCGAUUGGUUCCUAUGCGGCCGAUCUGCCUGUGCUGACAUGCGCGGGCGACGGGAUGGACACGGGUGGAGGAGGAGGUGGAGAUCGCGACCUUCCGCGACAUUCUGGCGACCGGAGACAGGCGAGCGGUAUCGUCCGUGGCCACGACGACGGCCCGCACACCGCUGGAUCCAAGGACAGAGCCGUGCUGCCUACGGGCGGCGCAGCGACCUCCAAGGGUGGAAAGGCAACCUCCAAGACACCCCUGCCGGCGUAUGCGCCGCGUCCUUCCUAGGUCGUGCACGACGAGCAGCGCCGCACCGUUGGUGACCCCAGGCAUCACCAUGGAAAGAGCUCUCGGCAUCAUUACCGAGAUGUGCGAGGCCAGCAUGCACGCCACGACACCGGCGGGAGCGGCGCGUGGCUGCAAGACCGUGACGGAGCUCCUUCCAACAUAGUUAGGAGUCAGAGCACCUCUCGUUCUUCGGCCUGUCGUUGCCGCCUACGCUAGCAGAAGCAUUGGCACGAGUGAAGCUACUCCUAGACUUUCCUCCUGCUCCGAAAAGGCUCGAAGAGUGGAGAGCUGGUAUUCAGAGCCUCCUCGGUUUCAUCGACGGAGAUGGGCCACAGUAGGCGGAGCCCUUGAGGGAGUCCUAGAUUAAAGGGUCCUCGGAUAGCCGGACUAUUAACAUGGGCUGGACUGUUGGGCUGCGAAGAUACAAGAUAGAAGACUUCUUCCCGUGUCCGGAUGGGACUCUCCUUUGCAUGGAAGGCAAGCUUGGCGACUCAGAUAUGUAGAUUCCUUUCUCUGUAACCGACUUUGUGUAACCCUAGCCCCCUCCGGUGUCUAUAUAAACCAGAGGGUUUAGUCCGUAGAGGCAACAACGAUCAUAAUCAUAGGCUAGACUUCUAGGGUUUUAGCCAUUACGAUCUCGUGGUAGAUCAACUCUUGUAAUACUCAUAUUCAUCAAGAUCAAUCAAGCAGGAAGUAGGGUAUUACCUCCAUAGAGAGGGCCCGAACCUGGCUAAACAUUGUGUCCUCCGCCUCCUAUUACCAUCAGCCUUAGACGCACAGUUCGGGAACCCCUACCCGAGAUCCGCCGGUUUUGACACCGACAUUGGUGCUUUCAUUGAGAGUUCCACUUCGUCGUCAUCAGAAGGCUUGAUGGCUCCAUCAAUCAUCUACAACAACACGGUCCAGGAGGAGAUCUUCCUCUCUGGACAGUUUUCAUAUUCGGCGGCUUCGCACUGCGGGCCAACUCACUUGGCCAUCUAGAGCAGACCGAUAGCUACGCCAUGAUACGUCUCCGUCGUAUCUAAUUUUCCAAACACUUUUGCCCUUGUUUUCGACUCUAACUUGCAAGAUUUGAAUGGAACUAACCCGGACUGACGCUGUUUUCAGCAGAACUGCCAUCGUGUUAUUUUUGUGCAGAACUAAAAGUUCUUGGAAUGACCUGAAAAUCCAUGGAGCAACCUUUUGGAAUUAAUAAAAAAUACUAGCGAAAGAAUCAGCACCAGGGGGCCCACACCCUGUCCACGAGGGUGGGGACGCCCCCCAAGGGCACGCCCCCCUGCCUCGUGGGCCCCCUAAAGCUCCACCGACGUCAACUCCAACUCCAUAUAUUCACGUUCGGGGAGAAAAGAGUCAGAGAGAAAGAUUCAUCGUGUUUUACAAUACGGAGCUUCUGCCAAGGCCUAAUCUCUCUCGGGAGGGCUGGUCUGGAGUCCGUUCAGGGCUCCGGAGAGGGGAAUCCGUCGCCGUCGUCAUCAUCAACCUUCCUCCAUCACCAAUUUCAUGAUGCUCACCGCUGUGUGUGAGUAAUUCAUCAUAGGCUUGCUGGACGGUGAUGGGUUGGAUGAGAUUUACCAUGUAAUUAAGUUAGUUUUGUUAGGGUUUGAUCCCUAGUAUCCACUAUGUUCAUGAAUAUAUGUGAGUUCUUGAUCCUAUCUUGCAAGUCUAUAGUCACCUAUUAUGUUUUAGCAUCCACUCGAGUGCCAUGAUUUGAGAUGUGAACCUAUUAUGUUUUCAUGAAUAUAUGUGAGUUCUUGAUCCUAUCUUGCAAGUCUAUAGUCACCUAUUAUGUGUUAUGAUCCGACAGCCCCGAAGUGACAAUAAUCGGGAUCACUCUCGGUGAUGAUCAUAGUUUGAGGAGUUCAUGUAUUCACUAAGUGCUAAUGCUUUGGUCCGGUACUCUAUUAAAAGGAGGCCUUAAUAUCCCUUAGUUUCCAAUAGGACCCCACUGCCACGGGAGGGUAGGACAAGAGAUGUCAUGCUAGUUCUUUUCCAUAAGCACGUAUGACUAUAUUCGGAAUACAUGCCUACAUUACAUUGAUGAACUGGAGCUAGCUCUGUGUCACCCUAUGUUAUAACUAUUACAUGAGGAAUCGCAUCCAACAUAAUUAUCCAUCACUGAUCCAAUGCCUACGAGCUUUUCACAUAUUGAUCUUUGCUUAGUUACUUUACCGUUGCCAUUGUUACAAUUACUACAAAAUUGCUACUAUUACUUUUGCUGCCGUUACUGUUACUUCCAUACUACUUUGCUACUAAAUACUUUGCUGUAGAUACUAAGUUAUCCAGGUGUGGUUGAAUUGACAACUCAACUGCUAAUACUUGAGAAUAUUCUUUGGCUCCCCUUGUGUCGAAUCAAUAAAUUUGGGUUCAAUACUCUACCCUCGAAAACUAUUGCGAUCCCCUAUACUUGUGGGUUAUCAAGACUAUUUUCUGGCACUGUUGCCGGGGAGCAUAGCUCUAUUCUUUGAGUCAUUUGGGAUCUAUAUCUGCUGAUCACUAUGAGGAACUUGGAAGACGAAAGAACUAAGAUUUUUCCCUCAAGUACGAGGGAAGGUAAGGAACUGCCAUCUAGCUCUGUACUUGAUUCUCCUUCUGUUUUGAGUAAGCUUGCGACACCUAAACCUGCUUCUGCUAUUAAUUCUGAUAUGUCGCAUGUUAUUGAUGAUGCCACUUCUGCUAUGCAUGAUACUUAUGAUGAAACUACUUCUAUGCUUGAUACUACUGUGCCAUUAGGUGAAUUUCUUGAUGAACAACUUGCUAGGGCUAGAGAGAAUGAAAUUAUUGAUGAAAGUGAUGAUGAAGGUUCUCCCCCUAAAUAUGAAUUGCCUGUUGUUCCUGAGGGUUAUGUUAUGGAUGAAGAAACUGCUAGAGAUUUUCUUGGUUGCAAUGAUAGAUCUGAUCUCAAGAAGUUAUUAGCCAAGCUGAAACAAAAGUCUCUGAAUGCUUGAAUGAAAUAUGACUCUGCCUUUUCUACUUCACAUAUCUAUGUUACUGAUAAGGAUUAUGGUUUCCCUGUCGAUCCUGAGAUAAUUACUUUGGUUGAAUCUGAUCCUUUUUAUGGCUAUGAAUCUGAAACUGUUGUGGCGCAUCUUACUAAAUUGAAUGAUAUAGCCACCCUAUUCACUAAUGAUGAGAAAACUCGCUACUACUAUAUCCUUAAGAUAUUUCCGUUCUCAUUAAAGGGUGAUGCUAAAACAUGGUUUAAUUCUCUUGAUCCUGGUUGUGUGCGUAGUCCCCAGGAUAUGAUUUAUUACUUCUCUGCUAAAUAUUUCCCCACUCAUAAGAAACAAGCUGCCUUAAGGGAAAUAUAUAAUUUUGUGCAAAUUGAAGAAGAGAGUCUCCCACAAGCUUGGGGGAGGCUUCUCCGAUUACUUAAUGCUUUGCCUGAUCAUCCUCUCAAGAAAAAUGAAAUACUUGAUAUCUUUUAUGAUGGACUAACCGAUGCUUCUAGAGACCACCUGGAUAGAUGUGCUGGUUGUGUUUUUAAGGAAAGAACUGUUGAUCAAGCUGAAUUGCUAUUGAAUAAUAUGUUGACUAAUGAAAAUAAUUGGACACUUCCUGAAACAACUCCUAAGCCAACUCCGAAGAAAAGAGGUGUUCUAUUUCUCAGUCCAGAAGAUAUGCAAGAGGCAAAGAAAUCUAUGAAAGAAAAAGGUAUUAAAGUUGAAGAUGUUAAUAAUUUACCUCCUGUUGAAGAAAUACAUGGCCUUGAUAACCCGACACAGGUAGUAAAGGUAAAUUCUCUUUAUACAAAUGAUAAAGUUUAAAUCCCGUCUACUAAGUUUGCUAACCAAUGCUUGGAUGAAUUUGAUGACUUUAUGACUAGACAAGAAAACUUCAAUGCUUAUGUUGGUAGACAUUUGAAAAGUAAUGCUUAUAUGAUUGGACACUGGAGUGAUUAUAUGUCUAGAGUUAAGGGUGAACUUAAACUCAUUAGUAAACAUGCUUCCAUGGUUACCACUCAAGUAGAACAAGUACUUAAAGCUCAAAAUGAUUUGCUCAAUGAAUUGAAUAAUAAACAUGACUUUGCUGUUAGAGUAGCAACUAGAACAGGUAAAAUGACUCAGGAAGCUUUGUAUCCUGAGGGCCACCCUAAGAGAAUUGAGCAAGAUUCUCAGAGAAAUAAUGUUGAUGCACCUAGUGCUUCUAGGAAGAAGAAGAAAAAUGAUAGGACUUUGCACACUUCUAGUGAACCGGUUGUAGACACACCUGAGAAUCCCAAUGAUAUUUCUAUUUUUGACGCUGAAACACAAUCUGGUGAUGAACAUGAACCUAGUGAUAAUGUUAAUGAUAAUGUUCAUGUUGAUGCUCAACCUAGCAAUAACAAUGAAGUAGAGAUUGAACCUGCUGUUGAUCUUGAUAACCCACAAUCAAAGAAUCAAUGUUAUGAUCAGAGAGACUUCGUUGCUAGGAAGCACGGUAAAGAAAGAGAACCAUGGGUGCAGAAACCCAUGCCUUUUCCUCCUAAACCAUCCAAGAAAAAGGAUGAUGAGGAUUUUGAGCGCUUUAAUGAAAUGAUUAGACCUAUCUUUUUGCGUAUGCGUUUGACUGAUAUGCUUAAAGUGAAUCCUUAUGCUAAGUACAUGAAAGAUAUUGUUCCAAAUAAAAGAAAGAUACCGGAAGCUGAAAUUUCCACCAUGCUUGCUAAUUAUACAUUUAAGGGUGGAAUAGCAAGGAAACUUGGAGAUCCAGGAGUACCCACUAUACCAUGCUCCAUUAAAAGAAACUAUGUUAAAACUGCUUUAUGUGAUCUUGGAGCCGGUGUUAGUGUGAUGCCUCUCUCUUUAUAUCGUAGACUUGAAUUGAAUAAGUUGAGACCUACUGAAAUAUCUUUGCAAAUGACCGAUAAAUCAACCGCUAUACAUGCCGUAUUUGUGAAGAUGUGCCUGUUGUGGUUGCAAACGUUACUAUCUUAACAGACUUUGUUAUUAUUGAUAUUCACGAGCACAAUAGUAUGUCGAUUAUCCUUGGUACGUAGACCCUUUUUGAAUACUGCAGGGGCUGUUAUUUAUUGCAACAAAGGCAAUGUCACUUUUCAUGUUAAUGGUAAUGAGCAUACGGUACACUUUCCGAGGAAACAACCUCAAGUUCAUAGUAUCAAUUCUAUUGGAAAAAUUCCAUCGAUUAUUAUUGGAGAUUUAGAAUUUCCUCUUCCUACUGUCAAGAAGACAUAUGAUAUUCUUAUAAUUGGUGAUGUGCAUAUCCCCGUUGAGGUAACCUAGUGUUAUUCGAAAUUUCUCCGGUUCCAUGUUAUUCGGAAUGAGUUUGUUAACAAGACUUGAUCAACCUUGUUAGUGGAUUCCUUUUGAUGAGCAUGAGAUGGAUGAAGUUAGAAAGCAAAACCUUCUGUACCCUCCUUUUACUUUCAAUUAUUUAUAUUAAGUACAGCAAAAAUAGUAUUUCUGUCUCUUUUCUGAUUUAUCCGUGCAAUAAAAAAAUACCCCGAAAAUAAAAGUUUUCCAAAUGCCCUGAAAAUUUAAUAUGAUUUUUUCUGGAAUAUUUGGGAAUAUGUGGCACUGAGAACACAGUAGGGGGAGCAAGCACCUGGCCACGAGGGUCCAGGGCACGCCCAACCCCAUGGGGCGCGCCCCCUGCCUCGUGGGCCCAUGGUGGCCCCCUCCACUUAUUCCUGCACCCACACACUUCUUCUUCCUCCCAAAAAAUCACUAUCCAGCUCAAGCACAAGUUCUAGCUCAUCUUGCUGCCAUUUUCGAUCUCCUUGCUCAAAACUCCAUUCACAAAACUACUUUGGGGGAUUGUUCUUUGGUAUGUGACUCCUCCAAUGGUCCAAUUAGUUUUUGUUCUAGUACUUUAUUCAUUGCAAUUUUUGCUGCUAAGGUGAUCCUGUUAUUGAGCUUGCAUGUCAAAUUUAUAUGGUCCCAAGUAGUUCCAAUGCAUGAUAUAGUCUCUAGGCACUUGUGGGAGUAGUUGCUAUCAAUUUUGCUGAGUUUGGUUCACUUUUAGUUUGAGUUACUAAGAAUUUCAGAAAUUUUCAGAAAAUGAUGAAGAGAUUUUUGAGGGGCUCUUCGAGCCAAAGCUUGAAGGAUAAACAAGCCAAGGAGAAUAAAAAUCCAAAGUAUAAUCUCCCUCGUGUUGCGGAAGUUCGGUCGUGUGAAUGGCCUUGUGAUGAGUUCUUGAGAGCGGCUGGGAUUCAUGAUGAUUUUUAUUCUUUGGCUGAGAAUGCAGGCCUCACCGACUUCCUCCACGACCAGCUCGAUCAGUAUCUCCUACUCACUAAUACUUUCGUGCAAAAUUUUUACUUUCAUACUAAAAAAUCACCACCUUCCGUGGAGUUUCAUCUAUAUGAUGAGAUUAGGGAGAUGUCACUAUGUGAAUUUUGUGCGGUUUGCAAGAUACCCUUCGGGGGUAGCAUAGAGGAACCACAUCGUAGAGAUGUGGAUGGAUUUAUUGAUAUGAUUACUGUAGGGGAAACGAGGAAGAUUUCUAAUGCAAGAAUUACUAGCAUACACUUUCCUGUUCUACGUUACUUUGCAAUAUUUGCUAGUAGAUGCUUAAUUGGCUGCGGGAACUGUGGAAACCUUAGUGUUCCUGAUAUUGUUAUUUUGUGCCAUGCUUUAUUUUGGGAUAACACUAUUAGUUUAGGCGCUAUUGUUGCUAAACGAUUAAGUCUGAACCGUACAAAGGGCCCAUCUUUGGAGGUAUCUAUGCUUCACGCCUUGCUAAACACUUCAGGAUACCUAUUAGGCAUUAUGAGAAAGAGGAAAAGUUGUUGCCCCCUACUUUUCUAGAUUACAAGAGUAUGUUAGCACAUGAGUUUAUUGUUAAAAAUGAUGAGAAGAUGCUUAAGUAUAAUUUUAGAUUUCAUAAAACUCAUAGUGAGACUACUAUCUUGCCUGCACCCUCUUUGUUUGACUUAUCUUCAGGCACAUUUCUCAUCUUGCCGGAGGCUGUUUACGCGUACCGGGGCCAGACAUCAGCUCCAGAGCCUGAGCCGGAACCACCACUUGACCCUUAUCGACCGUCCUUUUAUCAGUGGGAUCUGGAGGAGAUCGCCAGCUAGUGGCAGUCAGAUGACACUCCUCAGUACACCAGAGAGAGUAGUCAUGAUCCAUGGGCAUAGAACAACUUAGGCCAAAACUCUAAGAUUGGGGGAGUACGUAUUUCUCACCGACAUUACAUUCAUGUUCACACACUCAUUCCAGUUGUCGGUGCUCAUACUUUUUCAUUGUACUACCCAUGCUAGUUUAUUUUCUUUUUCUUGCUUUAUUCUUGUGUGUUUGAAUAACCUUAAGAAAAACCAAAAAAAAUUAGUUAUAGCUUUUAGCUAGUUUCCUUUCCAUGCUUGUAGUAGUAGUAAUUAAAAGAAAACCCAAAAAGAUUUCUCGUUCUUCUUUUGUUUGUUGGGAGCUUUCCCGUGUAAAUAGUUUUAUUUCUUUUCUUUUCUUUGGGGGUCGAGAGGAGAAGACCAUGAUGAAAAUGUUGGGUGGCUCUCAUCUGCAUUAUUGUUGAUUUAACCAAGAGACCAUAUUACCUUGUUUUCUCCCUUGAAUUUAAUGCUUGUAGAUUCCAGCUUAGUCCAAUGCACGUGCACUAUUAUUAUUAUCCACAACGUUCGGUCGUGCAAGUGAAAGGCAAUAAUGACGAUAUAUGAUGAAAUGAUUGAGAUGAGAGAAGCUGGUAUGAACUCGACCUCUCUUGUUUUUGUAAAUAUGAUUAGUUCAUCAUUCCUGAUUCAGCCUAUUAUGAAUAAACAUGUUUUCAAUGACAAUUAGAGAUUAUAGUUGCUUAUGCCAUUCUUAAUUAUCGAGGAGUUAAUAAUGGUUUACCUUGUGUGCCAACAUGCUAUUAAAAUGGUUGUGAUGUGGUAUGAUAGGGUGGUAUCCUCCUUUGAAUGAUUCGAGUGACUUGAGUUGGCACAUGUUCACACAUGUAGUUGAAACAAAAUCAACAUAGCCUUCACGAUAUUUAUGUUCAUGGUGGAUUAUAUCCUACUCAUGCUUGCAUUCAAUGUCUAUUAAUUUUAAUGCAUGCUCAUGAUUGUUGUCGCUCUCUAGUUGGUCGCUUCCCAGUCUCUUUCUAGUCUUCACCUAUACUAAGUGGGAAUACUGCUUGUGCAUCCAAAAUCCAUAAACCCCAAAGUUUUUCCAUAUGAGUCCACCAUACCUUCCUAUAUGCGGUAUCUACCCGCCGUUCCAAGUAGAUCUGUAUGUGCCAAACUCUAAACCUUCAAAUGACAUUCUGUUUUGUAUGCUCGAACAGCUCAUGUAUCAACUAGGGUUGUCUGUAUCUUCCAUGCUAGGCGGGUUAUUCUCAAGAGGAGUGGACUCCGCUCCUCAUUCACGAGAAAAUGGCUGGUCACCGGGAUGCCCAGUCCCAUUCUCAAAUCAAAUCAAAAUAAUCACAAACAAAACUCCCCCAGGAUUGUUGUUAGUUGGAGGCACCCGUUGUUUCAGGCAAGCCAUGGAUUGAUGAUCGUUGGUGGUGGGGGAGUAUAAACUUUACCAUUCUAUUUGGGAACCGCCUAUAAUGUGUGUAGCAUGGAAGAUAUCGAGAUCGCUCAGUUGUUAUGUUGACAAUGAAAGUAUACUGCUCAAAAUAUUAUUUAUCUCUAUUUCAAAAUCAAGCUCUGGCACCUCUACAAAUCCCUGCUACCCUCUGCGAAGGGCCUAUCUAUUUACUUUUAUGUUGAGUCAUCAUCCUCUUAUUAAAAAGCACCCGCUGGAGAGCACCAAUGUCAUUUGCAUACAUUACUAUUAAUUUAUAUUGAGUAUGACUGAAUCUCUUUUACCAUGAAUUACAAUGUUUAGUGAGUCAUUGAUCUUCAGAGGUGCUCUGCAUUUAUGUUUUGUAGUCUCAGAAAGGGCUAGCGAGAUACCAUCUUGUUAUAUCAUAUUACGACUAUUUUGAGAAAGUGUUGUCAUCCGAGAUUUAUUAUUAUUGCUCGCUAGUUGAUUAUGCCAUUGAUAUGAGUAAACAUGAGACCUAAGCGUUAUUGUGAAUGUGGUUAGUUCAUAGUCUUUGCUGAAAACAUGAACGUUGGCUUUACAUAUUUGCAACAACAAGAGCAAACAGAGUUUGUAAAAGUUUUUCUUUAUCACUUUCAGUUUGUUAACUGAAUUGCUUGAGGACAAGCAAAGGUUUAAGCUUGGGGGAGUUGAUACUUUUCCAAACACUUUUGCCCUUGUUUUGGACACUAACUUGCAUGAUUUGAAUGGAACUAACCCAGAAUGAUGCUGUUUUCAGCAGAACUGCCAUGGUGUUAUUUUUGUGCAGAAAUAAAAGUUCUCGGAAUAACCUGAAAAUCCAUGGAGCAACUUUUUGGAAUUAAUGAAAAAUACUGGCGAAAGAAUCGGCACCAGGAGGCCCACACCCUGUCCACGAGGGUGUGCGGCGCGCCUCCUGCCUUGUGGGCCCCCUGAAGCUCCACCGACCUCAACUCCAACUUAAUAUAUUCACCUUCAGGGAGAAAAAAAUCAGAGAGGAAGAUUCAUCGCGUUUUAUGAUACGGAGCCGCCGCCAAGCGCUAAUCUCUCUCAGGAGGGCUGAUCUGGAGUCCGUUCGAGGCUCCGGAGAGGGGAAUCCAUCGCCGUCGUCAUCAUCAACCUUCCUCCAUCACCAAUUUCAUGAUGCUCCCUGCCGUGCAUGAGUAAUUCCAUCGUAGGCUUGCUGGACGGUGAUAGGUUGGAUGAGAUUUACCGUGUAAUUAAGUUAGUUUUGUUAGGGUUUCAUCCCUAGUAUCCACUAUGUUCUGAGAUUGAUGUUGCCAUGACUUUGCUAUGCUUAAUGCUUGUCACUAGGGCCCGAGUGCCAUGAUUUCAAAUCUGAACCUAUUUUGUUUUCAAGAAUAUAUGUGAGUUCUUGAUCUAUCUUGCAAGUCUAUAGUCACCUAUUAUGUGUUAUGAUCCGACAACCCCGAAGUGAUAAUAAUCGGGACCACUCUCGGUGAUGACCAUAGUUUGAGGAGUUCAUGUAUUCACUAAGUACUAAUGCUUUGGUCCGGUACUCUAUUAAAAGGAGGCCUUAAUAUCCCUUAGUUUCCAAUAGGACCCCGCUGCCAUGGGAGGGUAGGACAAAAGAUGUCAUGCAAGUUCUUUUCCAUAAGCACGUAUGACUAUAUUUGAAAUACAUGCCUACAUUACAUUGAUGAACUGGAGCUAGUUCUGUGCCACCCUAUGUUAUAACUAUUACAUGAGGAAUCACAUCCAACAUAAUUAUCUAUCACUGAUCCAAUGCCUACGAGAUUUUCACAUAUUGAUCUUUGCUUAGUUACUUUACUGUUGCCAUUGUUACAAUUACUACAAAACUGCUACUGUUACUUUUGCUACUAUUAUCAUUACUUCCAUACUACUUUGCUACUAAAUACUUUGCUGCAGAUACUAAGUUAUACAAGUGUGGUUGAAUUGAAAACUCAACUACUAAUACUUGAGAAUAAUCUUUGGCCCCCCUUGUGUCGAAUCAAUAAAUUUGGGUUGAAUACUCUACCCUCGAAAACUGUUGCGAGCCCCUAUACUUGUGGGUUAUCACGCCCCUGGCCAUACGGUCAGAUUCGGAAGCCUGAAUUUUGUGGCCGAUAUCCGUGGAGACAUGAUCUUCGAUGGAUUCGAGCCCAUGGUGGCUGUCCCCUGCCACCACGAUGAACAUGACCUAAAUCUGUCAUUUGACCGCGCUCAGGAGAUAGCGCCCGUAACCGCUCUGGCCCUAGAUCCGGAGCAAACCGCGCCAUCUGAGGACGGGAAGCUCAACCCCGCCAUGGAAGCCACAGACUUAGCAGCGUUUGAGCCGCACACAGACCCAACAUCGAGCGGGGCUUGUGUCACCAGAACCUCGGAUUCAUCUCCGGCCAUAGGUUCCGGACUGCAUGCAUCCGCGUCCAUCGACCUGAUUGGGCGCUGAUCUUGUAGUUCAGCUCCACGGACAUCUUCUAGCACUCACCUCUGGGCAACGUGUUAAACUCAUUGAAAUCCCUCUCCUUGUUAGGGGACUCUCAGCCGAACUAUGUCCGGCUUGAAUGGGAAGCGGACGACGAAGAACUUCUUUUCCCACCCACCACCCACUUUAUAGCAACUGUCGACGACUUAACCGACAUGCUUGAUUAUGACUUCGAAGACAUCGAUGGUAUGGACGACGAUGUCGAAGAGGAGCAGGCACCACCGUUUACAGGGCGUUGGACAACGAUCUCCUCGUAUGACAUAUACAUGGUGGAUACACCCAAAGAGGACAACGGCGACAAUGAAAAUCCGGUCGAGGAUAAACCUCCCGAGAUAGAGCCAAAGCACCGACGUCAGCGGCGCCGCUCUAAGCCACGCCACGACAAAAACAGCAACACCGUCACAGGAGAAAACAAUACUCCGGACGAUGCUGAAGACAAUGAAGACCCCGUUGAGCCAACAUCCGAAUAGGACGAAUGGGAGGACGGGUGAGUCAGCCCUGACGAACAGCCCAUGAAUGAAGACAUGGAGGAUAGCAACUACCUUCCGCUCUCCGAGGAUGAGGUAAGCCUCGGUGACAAAGAUUUUAUCGUGCUUGAGGAGCCCGACAAACAGGAACGCUUUAAGCGCCGGCUAAUUGCCACUGCAAGGAGCCUGAAAAAGCAGCAGUAGCAGCUUCAAGCUGAUCAAGAUCUGCUCAACGAUAGAUGGACAGACGUCCUGGCAGCCGAGGAAUAUGGCCUUGAGCGCCCAACCAAAAGCUACCCGAAGUGCAAAAUGUUACCACAGUUCGAUGACAAGGCGCUGGAGCCUGUCCUACCAGCGCAUAAUGCGGCUGACUGGCCACCACGUGGCCGAGACAAGGCGGCACCUCGAGCCGAACACCAUCCCGCACUACCCUGCAAUAGAAACAGAAAUACAACACUCGGGGAUAAACACAUGACCUGCGGCAUGACUUGAAAAACAAAGGAGGCCAGACCAGAUCGAUCUACAAAUCGCGGGGGUGUGCCUCGACACGCGAUGAUGGCCACCAGGCCGGACGUGACAAAUAUAACCACGUCCGGGUCGAAAACCAUAGAAGAACUCCAUCCGAGAUAUGUCACGACUUGGCCCGAUACAGAGGUGCCGCACACCCCCUCUGCUUCACCGAUGAAGUAAUGGAACACGAUUUCCCAGAAGGGUUUAAACCCGUGAACAUCGAAUCAUAUGAUGGGACAACAGACCCCGCGGUAUGGAUUAGGAUUUUCAUCUCCACAUUCAUAUGACCCGCGGUGAUGAUCUUCAUGCCAUGAAAUACCUCCCACUAAAACUCAAGGGACCAGCUUGACACCGGUUGAACAGUCUGUCCAAAAACUUCAUUGGCAGCUGGGAGGACUUGGAAAACGCCUUUCUUGACAACUUUCAAGGCACAUAUAUCCGACCUCCGGAUGCCGACGACCUAAGUCAUAUAGUUCAACAGCCCAGAGAGUCAGCCAGGAAAUUCUGGACCAAGUUCUUAACUAAAAAGAACCAGAUAGUCGACUGUCCGGAUGCCGAAGCCCUAGCGGCCUUUAAGCAUAGCAUUCGUGACGAAUGGCUCGCCCAACACCUCGGCCAAGAAAAGCUGAAGUCUAUGGCAGCCCUCACGACACUUAUGACCCGCUUUUGCGCAGGCGAGGAUAGCUGGCUAGCCCAUAGCAAUAAUCAUGCAAGCGAUCCUGGCACUUCUAAGGCCAGAAACAGCAACGGCAUGCCACGACAAAAUAGACACAAGCGUCGAAGCAACGGUGACAACACCGAAGACACGACUGUCAAUGCCGGAUUCAGUGGCUCUAAGACCGGUCGGCGGAAGAAGCCAUUUAAGAGAAACAAUCUGGGCCCGUCCAGUUUGGACCGCAUACUCGAUCGUCCAUGUCAAAUCCAUGGCACUCCUGAUAAACCAGCCAAUCAUACCAACAGAGAAUGUUGGGUCUUCAAACAGACCGACAAGUUAAAUGCCAAGAAGAAGUCGAAGGGGUCACAAAGUAAUGACGAUGAUGAGGAGCCCCGGCCACCGAACAUAGGGGGGCAGAAGAAGUCCCCCCCCCCCCAAGUCAAAACGGUAAACAUGAUAUACGCUACCAAUUCCCCAAAAGGGAGCGCAAGCGCGCACUCAGGGACGUCUACGCGAUGGAGCCAGUCGCCCCAAAGUUCAACCCAUGGUCGUCAUGUCCGAUCACCUUCGAUCACAGGGACCAUCCGACUAGUAUCCGUCAUGGCUGUUCAGCCGCACGGGUCCUUGACCCAAUCAUUGAUGGAUUCCACCUUACGCGAGUCAUCACGGAUGGUGGCAGCAGCCUCAACCUGCUCUAUCAGGAUACAAUGCGCAAAAUGGAUAUCGAUCCCUCAAGGAUCAAGCCCACAAAAACCACCUUUAAAGGUGUCAUACCAGGUGUAGAAGCCUGCUGUAUGGGCUCAAUCACACUGGAAGUGGUCUUCGGAUCCCCGGAUAAUUUCCGAAGUGAAGAAUUGAUCUUCGAUAUCGUCCCCUUCCGCAGUGGCUAUCACGCGCUACUUGGACGAACUGCAUUUGCUUGAUUCAAUGCGGUGCCGCACUAUGCUUACCUCAAGUUCAAGAUGCCCGGGCCACGCGGUGUUAUAACAGUCAAUGGAAACACGGAACGCUCCCUCGGUACCGAGGAGCACACCACAACCCUUGUAGCAGAAGUACAGAGCGGCCUUUUCAGGCAUAACCGCAAUUCAGCGGCCAAGCUCCCGGACACUGUCAAACGAGUCUGAACUACUCCGCAACAGGACAGUCCAGUUCAUCAAGAGCUUGACUAGCAAUUCGGCCUCCGUCCUAGUCCCGACCAAGCAAUAACAUUUGUGCCACGCAUACAUAACUUCGCACUCAAAAUACCAUGGGCAUAGACGGAGGCACAGCUAGACCGCGGUCCACAAUACGGCUCAACCGCUCCUGGACCCGCAUACUUUUACUAUUUCUUUUUCUUUUCAGGUUCCUCUUUUUACCCAGGACUUUUCCUGAUAACCUAAUCAUCAGACAUAUAAAGGGACGGGUACACCAGGAAGGCAAGAAGCUUUGACGUACAAGGGAACUCCCAGGUGGUCUCUGCUAACGAUCGUUAUACCUUAUUUAAAAAUCCGCACGUAGCUCGCCCUUGGUUGUGGCAUGUCAAAUAGCCUUAUUUGCUUAUCGCAUUACUUGUACAAAUACGCCUUGACGUAUUAAUCAAAUUACAAUGGAAAAUAAUUUGCGGCUCAAUAUUUGCAGCGUCAACUUAUGACUUGAUUUUUUCCUUUUUCUUUAUAUUUCUUAUCAAUUGCGCCCAUACACUCUGGUACGCCUUAAUUCGCCAGGGGCUUCAUCAUACCCCACAAUACGACAAUAAAGUUCAAACACUUUUACACUACAGUUCGGCACCCCGAACUUAUAGCAUUAUAUGCAUGGGCUCUGAAUCAUGUCUUUGGUCAAUAGUUGGGUUGCCCGGCUCCUGUGCUUACUACCUUACAUUCCGCUAUAUCGGCUAGGGUAGUAAAGGGAGAACUACUGCGAUUGUGUCCCAUUUCUUCCGGAUGAGCACCUCAGUAGAGAAAGCCGAAAACUGACUGUCAUGAUGCGGCGAGAGCCGGUCAGCUGUUCGAGAGGUUACAAAUCUUUAGUGAUUUUUUCCGCAUUAUGCGAUGAAUCGGUUUUUAUCUGAUCAGGCGUGUAUAGCGCCCCAAGUUCGGACUUCUGAACACCAGGGGUUGCGCCUAAAUUUUUCUUGUCAAACUCCUAUGGCUAAGUGAGAGUAAUAAAGCCGCAUAGUCAGAUUGCCUGGUUUGCACUAAACACCUCCUUAAAGGACCAAAACCUUGGAUAAAGAGUGUUUAGAUUUAUCCCGAACACCCUCGUACUACCUACAUGGGGGCAGAAGCCGAUGACUGGCCAACUCUCAGAUUUAACAAAACGGCCGCACAGGAGGUAAAAUUUUAAAUAACAAACAUUAUAUUACAUAACGGAUCUGUUUCAUAGUAUAGGACAGGAUAACAUGAGUGUAUUCAUGGGAAUAUGAUAUCCUUAGCACAUUGUUCCGCCACAAGGCGGGAUCCCUCCAGGACACUGUUGGGGUGCUCCUUGCCCGCGGGCGGUCCCCCGGUCAUCAGCUUCGUGGUGUCCAUCUUCGCCCAAUGCAUCUUGGCGCGGGCAAAGGCCAUUCGCGCGCCUUCAAUACAAACCGACCGCUUGAUGGCAUCAAGCCGAGGGCAGGCACUGACAAGCCGCUUCAUGAGUCCAAAGUAGCUGCUGGGAAUGGCUUUGGCAGGCCAUAGCCGGAUUAUCAAAUCCUUCAUGGCUAGUUCAGCCGCCCUAUGCAGCUCGACCACUUGUUUCAGCUGACCGCUAAAGGGCACUGGAUGUUCUGGCGCAAGGUAUUGUGACCAGGACAGCUUCUCCGUAGAGCUCCCCUCUUCGUCUCGAUAGAAUUCCGUAGCAUCUGACACGCUGCACGGCAGAUUGACGAACGCCCCUGAGAACUCCAAAUCCGGGUCAGUAAGAGGAACCUUUCCUUCGCAUAUCUGCUCUACAUAAUAAAAGCCUUACCCGCCGCGAUUUUCUUGGACUCCUGGAUUUCCUGGAGGGCGCCCUGGGCUUCGGCUCGAGCAUCGUGUGCACUUUGGCGGGCCUUGGAAAGUUCGGAUUCUUGAUCCUUAAAGUCGCGCUCCAAAGACUUUGUAACAACCUGAUUUUUUGGCCCUUUCUUUUUCUUUUGUUUUUCUGAGGUUUUUGCUUGAGUCUUCUUUUUCCGUGGCUUUGUGGUCUGGAAACUGAAGAAGAUGACCUCUUCUUUGCUUCUAGAGUAGCUUGUCAUAUCCAAAUCCUUCCCUAGACCCUGGCAUUUUCAUCCUAGCCCAAAUCCCAAUGUUCUUUUUAUUGGGAAUAUUCCAUUUCUAUUAAAGGAAUUAUCCUUUUUGCCCUAGGUUGUGAAGCAACCCAUAUUUCCAUCACUCCAAAAAUUCCCAAAUAAUUCUCAUAAAUUGUUUGGGUCAUAUCUUCAUGAAAUGUGGCAAAACUUUUCAUUUGCCAUGUUUAUCAUCUUACUCAAAUAAUUCCUUUUCUAUCCUGGCCUGUGUGGCAGGUUGUGAAGGAAGUGCUAUUUUCCUUUGCCCAAUUGACCUCAACCUUUUUGGACAUCUUUUCAUGUUCAAAUACUUGCCCUGUGCCAAAGCUCAACUUUAUUUGCCUAGCCAAUCUUCCUUAGUGAUUUUUCAAAGUUCCUAUCUGAGGGAAUGCAUUGUGAAGGAAGUACUAGCUAGGAGUAUCCAAAUGAGUUGAACUUUUGCACACUCCUUCAUGUGCUCAUAUUAACCCUCUCCACCCAUUUGCAGCCCCAUCCCAUCAUCUAUGAGAGCACAAGCUCAAAUCUUUGAUUCUGGCAAUAUUUUUAGGUUGUGAAGCAAGUGUAUUUCAUAUUGCUUCAAAAAUUCUGAUAAAUUACCAGAUCAUGAUCCUACCCAUAUAACCUAUCUCUACCCAAUUUGGGCAUAUUCCAUCUAACCAAUUUUCCUCUAGAAUUUUUGAAAGUUUCUGGUCACUGGAAAUGUUUGUGAAGGAAGUACCAUUUUGGUUUAUCCAAUUGGUAUGGAACCUUUUGCAACAUCUUCAUAUGACCAAAUAACUCUGCUUUGCCUAAGUUGAGCUCAAGUUGACACUCCUAGUGAGUGAUUCAUCCUCAUUACCAAAUCUGGCCAGUGUGGCAAUUUCUACAACAAGUGCUAUUUAAACUCCUCUUCUUGAGCUGAAACCUUGCCAUCCUAAUCACCUUAGCGAGUGAUCAACCCCAGUCAAAGCUCAGUCUUAAUCUCCACAUGUGUGAGCCACAGCAAACACCAAACACCUUGUUGUUGCCUGGUGUGCUUGCUUCCUCUGGUCACCCCAAUGAGCACUAUGCUUGUUUAUCUCUUCCUUGGCAUCACCCUCUGCACACCUUGUCUCCCAGACAUGAUUUGGCCGAUCAGAGCACGGGAUAGCGUCGUGUCCACGCGGUGACCACCGUUUUGGCAUGUCACCCACGCGCUCUAGCGCCUCUGCCUUCUUCUGCCCAUCUGUGCACUCGUCCCCUUGGAGCCUAGUCAUGUCCAGCGUGUUCCCCGCGUUGUCGCCGUCCCUUUGGAGCGCAUGCCCCUCCCUCUUCUUCUCCGGUGAGCCGUCCCCCUCGCUGCACUGUACGCGCGCUGUAGCCGACCGUCGUCUUCUCCUCUGUUGGCUUCUACCGCCCUUGUCCUCGAGCUCCGCUCGUCUCCGUGACUCUUUGCGCCUGUCCGUUCGUUCUCCAUCGUCUUCCCUAAGCCCAUGCACGAGCACACGCGUCUGCGGCACCGUCCACGCGUCCGCGGUGGCACCCGAGCUCGAACCGCCUCGACCCGGCUAUAAGUAGCAGCCUCGAGACCCUCCGAGAAAUCCAUCGCCCUCCCCUCACUCCCAGCAACCUCCCCGUCCACUCAAACAAGCUCGAGGAGCUCCCUUUGCUCACCAUUGCCACCAUGGCCGCCGGCUCUGACCUCCUAUAUUCCGGUGAACCGGAGCUCCAUUCCCUCUCUAACCACCACCAUCGUCCUCCCCAAGUCUCCUGGAGCCUCCCCAGCCCGUUCCCUCGUUGCCAGUGCAACCGGGUCCAUGAGUCCGGCGAUGCCCGAAGCACUCCUCCGCCGCGGCCAUCGUUCCGCCCGCGUCUAUGCUCUCCGGCUUGGCCAGACCCCUCAGGCGGGCGCAACUCGUCGUCCUGGUCACUCUGGUGGCCGGAGCGUCACCGGAGAUGGCCGGAGCAGCCCAGACGAGCGUCGGUGCCGGCGGCCUGCUUCUGCUCUGCGGGCGGCGGCGAGCUAGAGAAGGAGGAGAGGGAGGAGAGAGAGAGGUGCGCGGGCCCCACCAGUCAGCCUCACAGGAGCCGGCCCCGCAUUGACCCCGUCCACGCUGACGUGGAUAAGUGGAAGCGCAUUCAUGCGAAUGCGUUUUCCAUUUCUGAAAGUGUAUUUCUAGUUUACGCCUCUGCCUUAUCCACUCAGGAACCUGUCUGUGAAUAUUCUUUUUGCAGAAAAGCCCCUGAUCCUCUUCCCCUCAUAACUUUUUAUCCGUAACUUCGACUGAGGUGAAUCCAACGCCCACGUCUUCGUCUCGUCAAGCUCGUUCUGUUCCCACCAUUUUCACUAUGUUUCAUCAUUCUAAAACUGACCAUUUUGCCCUUGCCCCUAAUCAGCCCCCUCCGAGAGAGUACCCUUUCCGGCGAUUCUUUCCACGGCUUCACCGCACAUCUCCCCGGAGUAUCCUUCAUCCCCGGGCAAGCCAAAACCACCAUUUGCAUGAUAGCCAUGCAGAAGUAUUGGUUUUCAACUUUAAUCUUUAAUAACCAUAUGUUUGUUUUGCUACUACUAUCGGUAUUUCGGUUAUGCUUAUGGAUCGGUGUUUACCCUCAUGCUAUGUUUUCUUGCGCUAUGUUAUUAUGCUCUUCAUGCUAGUAUUACUUUCUUAUGGACCAUGUUUUGUAGUAGUACAUGUUGGUGAUGGUCUUCGGUGCAUGACUAUUAUCUGUUCCGAGUACCGCCAUUAUGCAUGUUCCUUUACACCAAGUUGAUUAAAUGCUUGCAUGGUAGUUUAUCAUUAUGUUAUUGCAUGGUAUUUAUUGUUGAUGCUAGUGGUCAUGUUAUGCUAUGAGUAGUGUUCUAGUUGUGAUAUUCAUGCUCGUCAAUAUGCCAUGCUCACCUGGAUAAAUGAUUACAUGUUGUUGUUAUGCUCGUUGAUUAUGAUGCAUCACCAUGCUUAUGUUGAUAUUAUGUUCAUGCACUGUAGUUGCAUCAUGUUAUUUUAUCAUGACUCAACAUAUUGCAUUCAAGUUUAACCGGAUUAAAUUGAACUUGAACAACUGUUGGCUGAGUCAUGGUGCCACCACAUCAAGCUGACGAGUGCCACCACGCUUACCUUAUGGGAAGGUCCUAACUGGGUCUAUUGUCAUGCCUCUCACCGGUGCCUCCCGCGAGGGAAGGUUAUGCACGGGCGCUACCUUGGCCAGGUAGGAUGGCAUAAGCCUUGUGUGCCCAUUGUUUUUGUAAGGAUCCUUGUCCCCGUUUGGGACCAUUUUGCCACGACGGUGGCCGUUGGUGCCUUUGGUAGGCACGGGGCCACCCAGGACCUAGCCCAAAGGGGAGUUGGUCGGAGUGGCCGGGAGAGUGUUAUGGCAGUAGGAAAGUUUUGUCAGAACGCUUUGGUCCACCCGAAUGGGAGUGCGAGGCCAGGGUUCCGUGGUGUGGGUACAAUGUGCUAACCUCUAUAGAGUGUGUGUGUUAAAUCUAUCGAUAGCCGCGCCCGCGGAUAUGGGCCCAGUUCGUAGUUGGUCACACUGUGGGUUAACAGUAAUAAUAAUGAUUUGCUUAAUAACAACCCUGGUUCGAUGAUGAAAGAAGUUGGUUGAUAUUUAUGUGAUCGAGAGAGGAUCACUGCGGUAUCGUGAAUAUCAACUCGUUGGAUAUUUGUGGCGUUAUGAGAGAGUCAAGGGUAAAAGUCAAGCUCCUUACGGUCGUAAAUGAUUACUACGGUAUUGUUAAUACCAAGCUUGAUUAGAUCCUGAGAUGAUCGUGUGAUGUCCGUGAUGGUAAGUUUGUGCAGGUGAGGGUUACGAGAUAACCCGAGCAGAGUAAGUUGGUGCACGAAAGUUUCAUCAUCUUGCAGGCUAGUCUCAUCAUGUUCAUAUGUUUAUGCCAUGCUUAUAUUGUUCUAGCUAUAUCAUGUUGUUCAUGCUAUGUUGUUCUGAUAGUAUCGUGUUCCUCAUUGCUUAAUAAACUAUAAUUGCCAUGCUAUUGUUUGUUUUGAUUGCUUUGGUUGCUGUGAGCUUGCAAGUACAUUCAAUGUACUGACCUGGCGUGUCAUGCCAGUUUGCAGGUCAUGCCGACUUUGAUUGCUUGUUUUCCGUGGAUUCCUUGUUUGCGAGCUAGGAUAAGCGUUCCAGCCAGAGUCCCUAUGGAGUGGAGUUCAUCACCGUUGUCGUUGUUCCGCUGCCAGUAGUCAUUCCACUGCGUUGAGUUGUUCGGCUGCUUGCAUGGAGCAACCGUGGCAGGCGUAGUGUCGCCGUGCCGAUGUAACCCCCUUGUACCCACAUAGAUUGCAAUAAAGAGCUAGUUUGUUCUAUGCUAAGCAGUGUCGUAUUCCAGAAGACUUCUCCUCGAUCUCUGGGCUAGAAUACGGGGUGUUCCGGUUUCUCUGAGCCGGGGUGCCACAGGCGUGGUAUCAGAGCCAGGUCUGGCCGGAGGAUGCCCUAGCCCGCGCGAACGUUAGAAAACGGUAGAAUAGACCCCAGUUGGUUUGUUGCACUUGAUUGCUGCAUUUGUUUAUUGCAUAGCAUGCAUAUAGACUCAUUAUCUUAUCACUAACGAUUUAUCUUGUGAGUGUAGGUGGCAUCAGUUUCGAUCCACUACCUGCACCCUCCUUCUUAGCAUGCCUGCUUUUCGGUGUUUGGCAUCAUCUCUGUCCCAGUAGAAUGAUGCCCUGGUACUGAGUGUUCCAGACACCAUUUGCAGGAUUUAUGCUCGGAUAUCAUGUCGAUAUCUGUCUGCCUCCCACCCAAAUUAUUUUGAUGAUAGACUUGUCUCUAUCCCAAAUCGUGCCCUCCAUCUCAUUCCUUUGGCAACCCUUACUGAUCUUUGUUAUCAGAAAAGGGCAAUGCCAUCAAGCCUUGCUUUUCCUCCCCUAGCUUGCCCUGUCAUUUCAUUCUUUGGACGGGUACGAUUCCCUUUGUACGCUUGAUGAUGAGGUAGUCGUGACUUCCGUGUCUCGCUACUUGAUCACCAAGUCGGUCCUCACCUCCGUAUCCCUCCAGAUCCAGUCAGUGUUCAGCCAACACUUGGGGUAGCCUUGGUUACGCCAACUCCUUCCACACAUGGAUUUCACUUUCGUGCACACCAUCACAGCUUAUUAGACCGUAGUACCGGAGCUUCAGAGACAUUUGCGUGCUUAGGUGCGCAUGCAUAUUAUUGUGAGAGUAGUAGUAAUAUAUGUUGAUUGCUUUAUAUUAUUAGUAUGCUUGUGUGCCUUUGUUUUGUUGGUUCUUUUGUUUCUUUGUUUGGGCCUUCAGUGUUACAAAUUUCCCCCCUUAUUAAAGUUGCUCGUCAACCAACACCGGACGCGAAGAAUCAGAAAGGAGUUCCAAUACUUGGAAGCUCAGAUAAAUGGAAUAAUAUUAUCAGCAGACUGCAGUGAAGUUUGAAUUAUCUCGUCUGAAUGGAAAAGGGAUCCUGGAUGGACUGUCAAUAUCAAGUUUGCAUCAGUAUGGAAUUCUUCGCCGACUGCAUUGAGAUCUAGGGAUAUCUGAUCGUGAUACGGAUGAUCAGGUUUUCCUCACUAUGCACACUUCAUGACAGAAAUGAUUAGCUCAGCAAGAAGAUAAGCUAUGUGCGAGACCAAAAGUGCAAUUUCAGUGAAAGGUAUGGUUCAGGUACAAGGUUCGAUUCUUCAUGGAGUGAUAUUUUGAAACAUGAUAUGCCUGGAAGAAAGCAAGGAUGUGCCACAUACUCAGAAAGGAGGAUGGUCCAGCAAUUCCUAUUUCAGCACGAAGCCCAGUUUUCCUCCGCAAGAUACUCUCGAUGGUUUUCAACAUAAGCCAUCCAAUUGUCCUAAGUACGGCACUGGUGCAAGAUAGUACAUUGUGAAUUGACAGCAGAUGUCAGAAUCAGAUCGGCAACAGUUGGUCAGAAGCAAGAAUCAGUCAGAACACAAGUCUGCCUCGGGAAUCAGAUUCUCAGAUAUAUGUGAAGGAAGCCCGAUAUACACCUCAGUGUGACAAAGGACUAUGAGUAUUGACGACAACACUGAUCUUUGUACAAGUACCGGUGAACCUGGAAGAUGAUCCUGAUGACCCCUUGUCUCCUUUUCUUCAGUGCCGGCACCACGCCUGUGAUCUGAGCUGUUUUUAGCUAUCCGGGGUGGAUGCUGAUUUUUAUUUCUCUCUUUGACGACUAUCAUGAGUUCUGAGCUGCUUUCUGGCCGUCUUGUACAACUGUUGAGUUUCUUUUUGUGGCAGUGACUCUAUAGCUGUUUUUUGGCUAUUUUAGGGAGCUGUCACUUUCUUCUUAUCAACCCGGUCUCAUGCUCUGAGCUGCUUUUCGGCCGUCCUGAGCCGUGGUUGAGUUACCUCAGUAAUGUCCCAGAUCUGUGUUGUAAAGACCGUUCUGGUGGCUACUGAUUUAUUUGCCGAUUUCUUGCAAGGGUUUGGAUGAUCAUUUUCCUACGGUCAGAACUUGAGAGGUGUUGAACGUGCCAUUUAAUGGGUUACCAUGUCAGAAGAUGCGGAUAAGAGUACGCAUGUCAGAAUAUUGCAACCGACAAAAGCUAUGGUCACACGGAGAGACAAUGUGACCCUGCUCCUUCACCCAAGGAUUUAGGCAAGAAAGCAGUAAUGAAGGAGCAAGACCGAUACUUGUUGCAAGAACCGCAUGGUGCAUAUGCCCCGGACAGUCUGUGUCAGUAUGGAGCAUCAUGUAUAUUCACCUAAGGGGCCUACUCAAUUUUGAUCAAAGGUGAAUUCAACAGUAUGACUCCAGCAACUAUUGUGAAGCCCCACACAGCCUACUAUCCCCAUGGACUGACCGACAGAAUGAGCAAUCAGAAUGUGAAUAACAGUCUCAAAGCAUGUGCCCUCAAUUAUGAGAAUCACCAAUGGAUAGCUUGGCAUGGAUAAAAUCUCAUCUGUCAGAACCACCAUCAGUCAACACUACGGCUAAUAUCAUAAAGUUACGAUGAUCCAGAAGGUUCUGCAGUGAGUCAAAAUCUGUCAGGAAAUGGUUAUGUCUCAACUCACAGUUUGGAACCCAAAGGACCUGCCUUUAGUGGAGAAACCCAAUGCAAGGAGUCAGAGCUUAGGUGUUCAUCAGGAAAAUCUGGUCACCAAAUUAUGGAAGAUUGUCAGUACAGACACAGCCAUCAGAAAUCACCCUCGGAUUUGUGAGACACACAUAUAUUUCGGUCAGGGUAAUCUCAGAUAAGCCAGCAGAUAUGAAAAGAAGUGGAGAUAGUAUAAAUGUGAAUAUGUGAGGUAAGAUCUAUCAGAAUGUGGAUAAAACCUCAGAGACAGUCAGCCAGUCAAAUAAAAUUUAGUGGGAACAACAAUGAAGGAAAAAGGAUACCCGAGUUGGAAACGGUUUCCUUAAGGUCAGAUAUAUUCAGACUUAAUCCCUGAGCAACCAAAUCUCGAGGACGAGACUCCUUUAAGAGGGUAAGGUUUGUAAUAACCUGAUUUUUUGGCCCUUUCUUUUUCUUUUGUUUUUCUGAGGUUUUUGCUUAAGUUUUCUUUUUCUGUGGCUUUGUGGUCUGGAAACUGAAGAAGAUGACCUCUUCUUUGCUUCCAGAGUGGCUUGUCAUAUCCAAAUCCUUCGCUAGCCCCUGCCAUUUUCAUCCUAUCCCAAAUCCCAAUGUUCUUUUUAUUGGGAAUAUUCCUUUUCUAUUAAAGGAAUUAUCCUUUUUGCCCUACGUUGGGAAGCAACCUAUAUUUCCAUCAUUCCAAAAAUUCCCAAAUAAUUACCAUAAAUUGUUUGGGUCAUAUCUUCAUCAAAUGUGGCAAAACUUUUCAUUUGCCAUGUUUAUCAUCUUGCUCAAAUAAUUCCUUUUCUAUUCUAGCCUCUGUGGCAGGAUGUGAAGGAAGUGCUAUUUUCCUUUGCCCAAUUGACCUCAACCUUUUUGGACAUCAUUUCAUGUUCAAAUGCUUGCCCUGUGCCAAAGCUCAACUUUAGUUGCCUAGCCAAUCUUCCUCAGUGAUUUUUCAAAGUUCAUAUCUGAGGGAAUGCAUUAUGAAGGAAGUACUAUCUAGGAGUAUCCAAAUGAGUUGAACAUUUGCACACUCCUUCAUGUGCUCAUAUUAACCCUCUCCACCCAUUUGUAGCCCCAUCCCAUCUUCUAUGAGAGCACAGGAUCAAAUCUUUGAUUCUGGCAAUAUUUUCAGGAUGUGAAGCAAGUGUAUUCUAUAUUGCUUCAAAUUUUUUGAUAAAUUACCACAUGAUUCUACCCAUAUAACCUAUCUCCACCCAAUUUGGGCAUAUUCCAUCUAGCCAAUUUUCCUCUAGAAUUUUUCAAGUUUCUGGUCAGUGGAAAUGUUUGUGAAGGAAGUACCAUCUUGGUUUAUCCAAUUGGUAUGAAACCUUUUGCAACAUCUUCAUAUGACCAAAUAACUCUGCUUUGCCCAAGUUGAGUUCAAGUUGACACCCCUAGUGAGUUCUUCAUCAUCAUUUUCAAAUCUGGCCAGUGUGGCAAUUUCUACAACAAGUGCUAUUUAAACUCCUCUUCUUGAGCUGAAACCUUGCCAUCCUAAUCACCUUAGUGAGUGAUCAACCCCAGUCAAAGAUCAGUCUUAAUCUCCACACGUGUGAGCCACAGCAAACACCAAACACCUUGUUGUUUCCUGGUGUGCUUGCUUCCUCUGGUCACCUCAGUGAGAACUAUGCUUGUUUCUCUCUUCCUUGGCAUCACCCUCUGCACACCUUUUCUCCCAGACAAGAUUUGGCCGAUCAGAGCAUGGGUUAGAGUCGUGUCCAUGCGGUGACCACCGUUUUGGCAUGUCACCCGCGUGCUCUAGCGCCUCUGCCUUCUUCCCCCCAUCUGUGCACUCGUCCCUCGGAGCCUAGUCAUGUCCAGUGUGUUCCCCGCAUUGUCACCGUCCCUCUAGAGCUCUUGCCCCCUCCGUCUUGUUCUCCGGUGAGCCGUACCCCUCGUCGCACUGUGCGCGCGCUGUAGCCAACCAUCGUCUUCUACUCUGUUGGCUUCUACCGCCCUUGUCCUCGAGCUUCGCUCGUCUCCGUGACCCCUGGCGCUCGUCGGUUCCCUCCCCGUCGUCUUCCCAGAUCCCAUGCACGAGCACACACGUCCGCAACGCCGUCCACGCGUCCACGGUGGCACGCGAGCUCGAACCGCCUCGACCCGACUAUAAGUAGCAGCCCCGAGCCCCUCCGAGCACUCCAUCGCCCUCCCCUCACUCCCAGCAACCUCCCCGUCCACUAAAACAAGCUCGAGGAGCUCCCUUUGCCCGCCAUUGCCACCAUGGCCGCCGCCUCUGACCUCCUAUAUUCCGGCAAAUCGGAGCUCCAUUCUCUCUCUAGCUACCUCCAUCGUCCUCCCCAAGUCUCCUAGAGCCUCCCCAGCCCGUUCCCUUGUUGCCACAACAAUCGGGUCCGUGAGUCCGGUGAUGCCCGAAGCACUCCUCUGGCGCGACCAUCAUUCCGCCCGCGUCAACACUCUCCGGCUUGGCCAGACACCUCAGGCGGGCGCGACUCAUCAUCAUGGUCACUCUGGUGGCCGGAGCGUCACCGGAGAUGGCCGGAGCAGCCCAGAUGAGCAUCGGCGCCGGCGGCCUGCUUCUGCUCUAUGGGCGGCGUCGAGCUGAAGAAGAAGAAGGAGAGGAAGGAGAGAGAGAGGUGCGCGGGCCCCACCAGUCAGCCUCACAGGAGCCGGCCCCGCGUUGACCCCGUUCACGCUGACGUGGAUAAGUGGAAGCGCAUUCGUGCGAAUGCGUUUUCUGAAAGCGUAUUUCUAGUUUACGCCUCUGCCUUAUCCACUCAGGGAACCGUCUGUGAAUAUUCUUUUUGCAGAAAAGCCCCUAAUCUUCUUCCCCUCAUAACUUUUUAUCUGUAACUCCGAUCGAGGUGAAUCCAACGCCCAUGUCUUCGUCUCGUCAAGCUCGUUCUAUGCCCACCAUUUUCAUUAUGUUUCAACAUACUGAAGAUGACCAUUUUGCCCAUGCCCCGAAUCAUCCCCCUCCGAGAGAGUACCCUUUCCGGCGAUUCUUUCUGCUGCUUCACCGCACAUCUCCCCGGAGUAUCCUUCAUCCCCAGGCAAGCCACAACCACCAUUUGCAUGAUAGCCAUGCAGAAGCAUUGGUUUUCAACUUUAAUCUUUAAUAACCAUCUGUUUGUUUUGCUACUGUUGUCGGUAUUUCGGUUAUGCUUAUGGAUCGGUGUUUACCGUCAUGCUAUGUUUUCUUGCGCUAUGUUAUUAUGCUCUUCAUGCUAGUAUUACUUUCUUAUGGACCAUGUUUUGUAGUAGUACAUGUUGGUGAUGGUCUUCGGUGCAUGACUAUUAUCUGUUCCGAGUACCGCCAUUAUGCAUGUUCCUUUACACCAAGUUGAUUAAAUGCUUGCAUGGUAGUUUAUCAUUACGUUAUUGCAUGGUAUUUAUUGUUGAUGCUAGUGGUCAUGUUAUGCUAUGAGUAGUGUUCUAGUUGUGAUAUUCAUGCUCGUCAAUAUUCCAUGCUCACCUGGAUAAAUGAUUACAUGUUGUUGUUAUGCUCGUUGAUUAUGAUGCAUCACCAUGCUUAUGUUGAUAUUAUGUUCAUGCACUGUAGUUGCAUCAUGUUAUUUUAUCAUGACUCAACAUAUUGCAUUCAAGUUUAACCGGAUUAAAUUGAACUUGAACAACUGUUGGCUGAGUCAUGGUGCCACCACAUCAAGCUGACCAGUGCCACCACGCUUACCUUAUGGGAAGGUCCUAACUGGGUCUAUUGUCAUGCCUCUCACCGGUGCCUCCCGCGAGGGAAGGUUAUGCACGGGCGCUACCUUGGCCAGGUAGGAUGGCAUAAGCCUUGUGUGCCCGUUGUUUUUGUAAGGAUCCUUGUCCCCGUUUGGGACCAUUUUGCCACGACGGUGGCCGUUGGUGCCUUUGGUAGGCACGGGGCCACCCAGGACCUAGCCCAAAGGGGAGUUGGUCGGAGUGGCCGGGAGAGUGUUAUGGCAGUAGGAAAGUUUUGUCAGAACGCUUUGGUCCACCCGAAUGGGAGUGCGAGGCCAGGGUUCCGUGGUGUGGGUACAAUGUGCUAACCUCUAUAGAGUGUGUGUGUUAAAUCUAUCGAUAGCCGCGCCCGCGGAUAUGGGCCCAGUUUGUAGUUGGUCACACUGUGGGUUAACAUUAAUAAUAAUGAUUUGCUUAAUAACAACCCUAGUUCGAUGAUGAAAGAAGUUGGUUGAUAUUUAUGUGAUCGAGAGAGGAUCACUGCGGUAUCGUGAAUAUCAACUCGUUGGAUAUUUGUGGCGUUAUGAGAGAGUCAAGGGUAAAAGUCAAGCUCCUUACGGUCGUAAAUGAUUACUACGGUAUUGUUAAUACCAAGCUUGAUUAGAUCCUGAGAUGAUCGUGUGAUGUCCGUGAUGGUAAGUUUGUGCAGGUGAGGGUUACGAGAUAACCCGAGUAGAGUAAGUUGGUGCACGAAAGUUUCAUCAUCUUGCAGGCUAGUCUCAUCAUUUUCAUAUGUUUAUGCCAUGCUUAUAUUGUUCUAGCUGUAUCAUGUUGUUCAUGCUAUGCUGUUCUGAUAGUAUCGUGUUCCUCAUUGCUUCAUAAUCUAUAAUUGCCAUGCUAUUGUUCGUCUUGAUUGCUUUGGUUGCUGUGAGCUUGCAAGUACAUUCAAUGUACUGACCUGGCGUGUCAUGCCAGUUUGCAGGUCAUGCCGGAUUUUAUUGUUUGUUUGCCGUGGAUUCCUUGCUUGCGAGCUAGGAUAAGCAUUCCAGCCAGAGUCCCUGCGGAGUGCAGUUUAUCACCGUCGUCGUUGUUCCGCUGCCAGUAGUCAUUCCGCUGUGUCGAGUUGUUCGGCUGCUUGCAUGGAGCAACCGUGGCAGGCGUAGUGUCGCCGUGCCGAUGUAACCCCCUUGUACCCACAUAGAUUGCAAUAAAGAGCUGGUUUGUUCUAUGCUCAGUAGUGCCGUAUUCUAGAAGACUUCUCCUCGAUCUAUGGGCUGGAAUAUAGGGCAUUCCAGUUUCUCUGAGACGGGGUGCCACAGACUUGCACUUCUUGAUGGCGUCCUAGAGCUCUUGCUGGACCUCACUGACCCGGGCCUCAUGCUUCUCACGUGCACCUCGUUCCUUGGCCGCUUUGUCCUCGACCUCGACCAGCGUCUUCUUGAGGGCAUCUACUUCGGUUGUUGCCCCUAAUAAAUACCAUGGCACUUUAAGUUUGUACGAAUCAUUCAUCCUUCCUGAAUAUAUAUAAAUGUUACUGCAUACCUUGACUGUCCUCCAGCUGCUUCUUCACGCGGCCGAGCUCUUCCUCGGCCCGCUCCAGACUCUGCUUCAGUCCGGAGACUUCUGCAGUGUGAGAGGUUGCAGCUAGCAGUAAUGCCUGCUUAUUCACAUAGACAUUUUAGAUUAGUUUCCUGCGAAAAUUAUUUGAUCCUCUGUCCAACUUGUCUUUUUGAAUACCGAGCAGUGUCUCAGGGGCUACUGUCUAUACUGUGACAAUAUUUUUUAUACAAUUUCAUUACUUACCUCAAAGACGGUUAGAAGGCUUGUGCAGGCUUCGGUCAGUCUGCUCUUCACGGACUGAAUCCUCUCAAUCACCAUACCCAUAAGGGUACGGUGUGCUUCAACAAUGGAAGCGCCUUGCAGCGCUUCCAACAAAUUAUCCAGUGCCUCUAGAUGGAUAGAGGCCACCAGUGGAAUAGCGCACCUCCGUCUUUUGAAAGAGGCGGCUAGCCUGAUUCCGGAGCCAUAUAUGUCUCCGGAACUAUAUUCAGUUGGGGGCCAAACUGGAUGCGGCCCCCAUCGGUAGUAUCCAUGGGGGUUUGCUCCCCCAUGCGUCCGGCCGCUGAGGCCUCACCAUUCGGCGCCUCCCUGAGGGCCUCUUGAAUAUCUCCCGGGUCUGGCAUCCUCCGGGACGAUGCCUCGGCACCAUCCAGGUCCCUAGGAGAGGUGUCCGAUGGAAGGGUCCCGCUGUCCAUGGCCGCCGGCUCCAGCGAAUCCUCUGAAGAUAAGGACUGCUCGAGGUUGGACUGAGCCGGACUACAAAUGCAUAAUUCAGCAUGUUAAAACAAUGAAGUAAGGAGGCCCGAUAUAUGAACAUGUCCGGACACUUAAGAUCUGGCCAGGAGCUUGUCCCUGGGCUCCCACUCCUAGCUACUGUUGGUGGCCACUGUGGAGCUAUCCGGAAGGGAAGCUUUCCCCUUCUUGGACGCCUCGGCCUCCAGAUGCUUGGAUGCCAUCCUCUUCUUUCUCCCCCCUGCAGGGGGGAAUGGAUUUCUUCUUCUUCCUCCUCUUCCUCGUCAUCUUCGGUGGCGGAGGAGUGAGCCUCGGCGUCUUCGGACAUCGCGUCCGAAGUGCCCUUGCGAUGGAGACCACCUCUGGUCCCCUUGGCCUUCUUCUUGGCCUUCUUCUCCGAUGCCUAAUAAGGCGCUGGAACCAGCAUCUUCGCCAAGAGCAGGAUUUCCGGAUCUUUGGGCAGCGGAGCCAGACAGUUAAUCCACUCUGCCAUCUCUGUCCAGGCCUGAAAUAUUAAUAGGGAAACUUAGAUGCCUUCCCCGAGUAUGCAAGUAAAGGGUAUACCUUGAGAACAUGAAAGAACUUAGCGGAUUAGCAGGGUGAGUUAAGUCAUGCCCACGAUCCUCGGUCGUGGGUGGCGGCGCCUCGUUGGCCGUUAAGAGCACCUUCCAAAUAUAUUCGUGCAUCGUGUCGAAGAGUUCUAGUAGGGUCUGAUGCUUGUCCAGAUCGAACUCCCAUAGAUGGCAGGUCCGGCAUUGGCACGGAAGGAUCCGACGAACAAGCAUCACCUGGAUCAUGUUGAUGAGCUUGAUUUUCUUGUUUAUCAUGUUCUGAACGUGCGUCUAGAGCGCCAUCAGCUUGUCCGAGGAAGACCAGGUCAGACCUUUCUUUUGCCAGGAGGUGAGCCGCAUCGGGACUCCGGACCGGAAUGCGGGAGCCGUGACCUAGUUUGUGCUGCGUGGCUCAAUGAUGUAGAACCACCCCGAUUGCCACCCUUUGACAGUCUUCACAAAGGAGCCUUCGGGCCAGGUGACGUUGGACAUCUUACCCACCAUGGCGCCUCCGCACUCUGCUUGUUGGCCGCUCACCACCUUCGACUUCACAUUGAAGGUUUUCAGCCAUAGCCCAAAGUGAGGUGGGAUGCGGAGGAAGGCCUCACACACGACAAUAAAUGCCGAGAUGUUGAGGAUGGAGUUGGGGGCCAGAUCAUGGAUGUCCAUCACUUAAUAGAACAUAAGUUCAUGGAUGAAAGGGUGGAGAGGGAAUCCCAGCCCGCGGACGAAGUGAGAGACGAACACCACCCUCUCGUGGGGCUCGGGGGUGGGUACGAUUUUCCCCUCGGCCGGAAGCCGAUGGGCGAUCUCCUUGGCCAAGUACCCGGCCUCCUGGAGCUUCUUGAUGUCCUUCUCCUUGACGGAGGAGGCCAUCCACUUACCUCCUGCUCCGGAUCCGGACAUGGUUGGAGUGCUUUUUUGGGCGAAGAAGGCGAGGGCUUGGGCGCUGGAGCUCGAGAAUGGAAGGGCAGAGGAAGGAGAAGGCGUGGGUGAAAAAAGGAAGAGUCCUUAUCCCUUUAUAAAGGCAGUGAAUAUUAUGCGCCGCCCCACUCGCCUUAAAACUCGCCUAUUACCCAAGGGCUGUGCAGAUGGCACGGUUGGGUUACCCAUGCCCGUAUUGAUGAGAAUCAUGUGAUAAGGGGACAUGAUCUUUGCUUUGACAAGACAUGCCAAUGAAACCACACCUAGAAAUACGGAGGGGCGGGCUAAAAAAUGGUUCAAAUAAUGACCGAACAGUGGCGUGAUGUCAUGCUAUUAAAAGUCGUCAGCGGAUUGGACUCGUGAAAUAUUAUACUCUCUACGGUUAUGUGUGGAACUUGUUUUGCAGAUCCAGACACGAUUCUUGUGUUCGAAGACUAUUUUGGAGUAUUCGGAGAGGGAACCCGCCAUGCAAUGCCGAAGACAAUCUGCAUGCCGGACUCAUUGUCAUUGAAGCCUGGUUCAGGGGCUACUGAGGGAGUCCUGGAUUAAGGGGUCGUUGGACAGCCGAACUAUUAACAUGGGUCGGACUAUUGGGAUACGAAGAUACAAGAUAGAAGGCUUCUUCCCGUGUCUGGAUGGGACUCUCCUUUGCAUGGAAGGCAAGCUUGGCGAUUCGGAUAUGCAGAUUCCUUUCUCUGUAACCGAUUUUGCGUAACCCUAGCCCCCUCCGAUGUCUAUAUAAACUGGAGGGUUUAGUCCGUAGAGGCAACAACGAUCAUAAUCAUAGGCUAGACUUCUAGGGUUUUAGCCAUUACGAUCUCGUGGUAGAUCAAAUCUUGUAAUACUCAUAUUCAUCAAGAUCAAUCAAGCAGGAAGUAGGGUAUUACCUCCACAGAGAGGGCCCGAACCUGGGUAAACAUUGUGGCCCCUGCCUCCUGUUACCAUCAGCCUUAGACGCACAGUUCGGGACCCCCUACCCGAGAUCCGCUGGUUUUGACACUGACAGCCCUCGCGUUGGUGGUCCACUUGGCCGGUGCGCGCGGACUGCGAAAGGAACAGAGGUGCUGCGACCAUGGUGCACUCCCCUCCACCAUGAUAGCAGUGGUCGCCAGUUCAGCAGUAGACGCCCCUGAUGACGGAUCCACGGCAUCGUCCGACCCAUGAGCUCGCCGCAAUCAAUGUCAAGUUCUUCAAGAAUGAGUCAAAUAGGAUGCUUGAACCACCAUCGAGCGGCGGCGGGAAGCACGCUAUCAAUGUGACAAGCGCGUAGGCCCCACUGUAGACAAGCCUGCGCAGGGGAACCCUACUGACUUACCUUACGAGGUGGGUUGUCUAGCAUUUACCCAUGAGCUCUGGCGGUUCAAGUGACCCACUUCCUGCACGUUCAAACCCAAGAUCCAAUAGGUGUAGUUUCCCCGACAUCUUUGGCGUGCCAGUUUCAUUCAAAGAAAUUGCAUCAUCCAGCUCAGUCUCUUCAGACAAUCCCUCUCUCCUGGCCAUUUUCAGUUUGGGGGCUCGACAUACUGGGCCCUUUUCCCCGUGUUGUCUGGGGCUUUGAGUACUUGUACAUUGCAAUCGACAAGUUCACAAAGUGGCCGAAAGUGGAGGCGGUGAGAAUGGUGACAACACAGUCAACCGUCAAGUUCUUCAAAUGACUAGUUUGCCAUUUUGGUGUUCCAAACAUAGUCAUCACCGGCAACGGCACACAGUUCAUGAGUCGCACCUUCAUGCAAUAUAUCCAAGACCUUGGUAGCAAAAUCUGUUUUGCUUCUGUUGCUCAUCCAAGAACCAACAGCCAGACGGAAAGGGCAAAUGCUGAGGUGUUGCGGGGUCUCAAGACAAGGACUUUCGACAUGCUGUAGAAGUGCGGAAGAUGCUGGGUUGAUGAGUUGCCGGAAGUUCUUUGGUCAAUCAGGACGACACCAAGUCAAGCUGCUGGCCCAGACACCUUUCUCCCUGGUGUAUGGGCGGAAGCAGGUCUCCCCACAGAACUCAUAUACAGGUCACCUCGAGUGCUUGUUUAUGAUGAGCUUGAGCAAGAGCAGUUGCGGCAAGAUGAUGUUGCGCUCCUUGAGGAAGAUCGUCUUCAGGAUGUUGUGCGAGCCGUGCGCUACCAGUAAGCCUUGCACUGCUACCACAGCUGCAAGGUUCACACCCGAAGCCUUGAGGAAGGCGACCUUGUUCUUCGGCACGUUCAGUCGGCCAAGAAUUCCAACAAGUUGACGCCAAAGUGGGAAGGCCCUUAUCGGGUAAUGCGAGUCACCUGGCCCGGCAUAGUCCGCCUGGAGACCGAAGAUGGUAUUCUAGUAAGCAACUCCUGGAAUAUUGAACAUCUUCGCAAGUUUUACCUAUAAGGCGCGGUUGCCGGGUCCCCCGGCAACCCCCUUUUUUGUACUAGCCUUGCCGGCGAGUCAUAAAACCCUAUGUACAGAGCCAGUCGUAGACCUUGUGCGCAGUUGAACAAGUUUAAGUAUGUACAGUCCUUGUUGAUUUCCAUGUUCAUAUCUAUGCAUGCAUGUCCAGGUUAUUGUACUACGUCUGUUUCCAGCAAGUACUGAUGAACUGCGAAGGUUCCAUGUUCCUAUUUCCUCUUCUUUCUUGUUCUCAAAGGAUAGAAGGUUCCCUCGCAUAGAAGUUUGUCGGGGGGAUGAUGGUAUGGAGUAUGGACACCAACGAGCGACGUUCGAAGUGGAAUCUUGCGGAAAAGAGUACAACAACAGCUAAGUUGUGAAACCUUGAGUGAAUUUGUUUUAAAUAUGAGAUUAUUUUUCUUGAACAAUUUCGGGUCUUGUAUGGAAAACCUGCACGCGAAGGAACCUUGUCGUAACUAGUUGCGCCUGAGGGAGUCCUGGAUAAGGGGGUAUCCGGACAGCCGGACUAUGUACUUUGGUCGGACUGUUGGACUAUGAAGAUACAAGAUUGAAGACUUCGUCCCAUGUCCGGAUGGGACUCUCCUUGGCGUGGAAGGUAAGCUUGGCGAUUCGGAUGUAGAUCUCCUCCUCUGUAAACUGACUCUGUGUAACCCUAGCCCUCUCCAGUGUCUAUAUAAACCGGAGGGUUUAGUCCGUAGGACACAACCAAUAACAACAAUCAUGCCAUAGGCUAGCUUCUAGGGUUUAGCCUCCCUGAUCUCGUGGUAGAUCAACUCUUGUAAUACUCAUAUCAUCAAGAUCAAUCAAGCAGGAAGUAGGGUAUUACCUCCAUCGAGAGGGCGCGAACCUGGGUAAACAUCGUGUCCCCAGCCUCAUGUUACCAUUAGCCUUCGACGCACAGUUCGGGACCCCCUACCCAAGAUCCGCCGGUUUUGACACCGACAUUGGCGCUUUCAUUGAGAGUUCCUCUGUGUCGUCGCUAUAAGGCUCGAUGGCUUCUCCAACCUUCAAUAAUGCCGUCCUGGGUGAGACUUUUCUCCCCAGACAGAUCUUCGUGUUUGGCGGCUUCGCACUACGGACCAACUCGCUUGGCCAUCUAGAGUAGAUCGAUAGCUACGCCCCUGGCCGUCAGACCAGGUUCGGGAACCUAAACUACACUGCCGAUGUCCGUGGAGAUUUGAUCUUCAACGGAUUCGAGCCCAUGUGAGGAGCGCCGAAAGUUCGCCACGCGCAUGACUUAGAUCUGCCGUCGGACAGUAUUCAGAAUAUCGCACCUGCUACCGCUCCGAACUCCGUUCCCGAGCAGGUCAUGCCUUUCGAGGACGGGUGGAUGGACCCCGCCCCGAAGACCGCACACUCAUCGGCUUUGGAGCCGAACACAGACUCCUCUCCUAAAAGGAUCUGUAUCCCCGGACCCCCGGACUUGCCUCCGGUCGUGUGUUCUGGACCGCGCGCACUGGUGCCCAUCAAAUCCAACUGGGCCCCGGUUACGGAAUUCGCCGCCGCAGAUAUCUUUCAGCACUCACCCUUCGGAGACGUGCUAAAUUCAUUAACGUCUCUCUCUUUGUCAGGAGACUCUUGGGCGGACUGUAUCCGGCCCAUGUAGGAUACGGAGGACGAAGAAGAUCGCGAUCCACCCACCACCCAUUUUAUAGCCACUAUCGGUGACCUCACAGGCAUGCUUAACGUCGACUCCGACGACAUCGAUGGCAUGGACGUCGAUGUAGGGGUAGACCUGGAACCACCACCAACAGGGCGCUGGACUUCCACUUCAUCAUACGACGUCUACAUGGUCGAUACGCCUAAAGGAGACAAUAGUGACAAAAAGGACACAAUGGAGGAUAAACCCCCUGGGCAAAAGCAAAAACGAUGGCACAGGCGCCACUCUAAGUCCAGUCACAGUAAAAAUAGUGAUAACAACACAAAACAGGAUGACACUCCAGUUGACUCCGAAGGCAACAAUGACCAUAGGGACCCAGCGAUGGAGCAGGACAAGCCAGGUCACGCCGAAUACAACCCGGAGCAGAUGCCCGAUCACAGCAAUCUAGAAGGCCGAACUCAUCACACUACCUCCAAAGAGGAGGAUAGUCCGGCUGAUGAUGCAUUCAUCAUCCUGGAAAAACGUCUGGAACAAGAUAACCUCUGCAGAAAACUCCUGGCCACGACAAGGAGCUUGAAGAAGCAGAAGCAAGAGCUUAAGGCCGCGCAGGACAUGCUCAACUGAAGAUGGAAUAAGGUGCUGGACACCAAAGGGAAAGGUGGCGAUAACCGCCACACAAAGAGCUACCCAAAGUGCAAACUGCUACCCGAAUUUGACGAUGAAGCCGCAGCACCCGUUCGGCCAAAAAACAAUACGGCUACUCAGCCGGACCAACCACCUCAUGGAUGCGAUAGAGCAGCCACCAAUACCGCACAGGAUUUAUGAGAGCUCCUGGACAAAAAGGCUGGCGGCCAGAUCCAUCUAUGGGUCCACAGGACAUGCUUUGACACGGGAUCAUGGUCACCGCAACGAUCAUACUGAUCGAAUAGUCCGGAAUCAACACCGGGAACAACACCAGCCGACAGCAUGCCACGACAUGGCCAGAUAUAGAGGGGCUGUGCACCCCCUGUGCUUCACGGAUGGGUGCUGGAUCAUGAAUUCCCACAGGGAUGCAAACCCGUGAAUAUAGAGUCAUACGACAGACCCUGGGGUCUGGAUUGAAGAUUUUUUCCUCCACAUACACAUGGCUCGUGGGGACGAUCUCCACACCAUCAAAUACCUCCCCCUCAAGUUAAAAGGACCAGCUCGUCACUGCCUGAAAAGCCUCCCCAAAAACUCAAUUGGAAGUUGGGAGGAACUUGAGGAUUCUUUCAGGGCCAACUUUCAAGGGACCUAUGUCCGGCCUCCAGAUGCUGAUGAUUUAAGUCACAUAAUACAGCAGCCUGGAGAGUCAGCACACAAACUUUGGAACAGAUUCCUCACUAAAAAGAAUCAAAUCGUCGAUUGUCCAGAUGCCGAAGCCUUAGCGGCCUUCAAACACAGUAUUCGAGACGAGUGGCUUGCCAGACACCUCGGCCAAUAAAGGCCGAGAAUGAUGGCAGCCUUAACAAGCCUCAUGACCCAAUUUUGUGCGGGCGAGGACAGCUGGUUGGCCCGUAGAGGCACCAGCGACCCAGACACAUCCGAAAUCUGAGAUGGCAACAGGAAGUCACGACACUCUAAGCAGAAACGUCGGAAUAACAAUAGUCCGGACAACACAGCGGUCAACGCCGGAUUCAGGGGCUCUCGACCUGGUCAAGGAAAGAAGCCAUUUAAAGGCAGUAAAGAGGAACCAUCUGGUCUGAACAAAGUCCUGGAUGGAUUGUGCCAAAUCCAUGGCUCUUCCGACAAACCGGCAUAUCACACCCAUAGAGAAUGUUGGGUUUUCAAGCAGGCCGGCAUGUUAAAUGCCGAACACAAGGGAAGGGAAACACCAAGCAAAGAUGAGGAUGAGCCUCGCCAGCCGAACACCAGGGACCAGAAACAAUUCCCACCGGAAGUCAAAACGGUAAACAUGGUACAUGCAACUCACGCAGAGUUUGUAGCCCCCCAAUUCAAUCAGUGGGCAACUUGCCUGAUAACUUUUGAUCACAGGGACUACCCGGCCAGUAUCCGGCACGGAGGAUCGGCUGCCUUUGUGCUCGACCCAAUAAUCUGAUAUAUCAAGACACCAUCCGGAAGAUGGGGGUAGACCCGUCCAGAAUAAGUCAAACUAAAGCCACCUUCAACGGAGUGAUUCCUGGCAUAGUAGCCCACUGCUGGGGCUCCCUCAUAUUAGAAGUAACAUUCGGUUCUCUUGACAACUUCAGAAGCGAGAACCUACUCUUCAACAUCGCCCCCUUCAGCAACGAUUAUCAUGCAUUGCUUGGAAGAACAGCCUUCCCUUGCUUUAACGCAAUAUCGAACUACGCCUGCCUUCAACUCAAGAUGCCCGGUCCAGGCGGCGUCAUCACGGUUAGCGGAAACACAGAGCAGUAUGCGGCAUUUCCUGCUGCCGGACUCUAGGCGGCCUCUGUUGGGGAACGUUGCAUAAAAUAAAAAAAUUCCUACGUUCACCAAGAUCCAUCAAUGAGUUCAUCUAGCAACGAGAGAGAGAGAUGCAUCUACAUACCCUUGUAGAUCGCGUGCGGAAGUGUUCAAGAGAACGGGGUUGAGGUAGUCGUUCUCGUCGUGAUCCUAUCACCGGAGAUCCUAGCACCGAACGGACGGCACCUCCGCGUUCAACACACAUACGUUCAGCAUGACGUCUCCUCCGUAUUGAUCCAGCAAGGAGAAAGGAGAGGUUGAUGAAGAUCCAGCAGCAUGACGGCGUGGUGGUGGAUGCAGCAGGACUCCGGCAGGGCUUCGCCAAGCAACUGCGGGAGGAGGAAGAGGUGUAGCAGGGGGAGGGAGGCGCCAAGACUCAGGGUGCGGCUGCCCUCCCUCCCCCCCCUUUAUAUAGGCCCCCUGGGGGGAGCGCCGGCCCUAGAGAUGGGAAUCUUCCAAGGGGGCGGCGGCCAGGGGGUGGAGUGCCCCCCAAGGCAAGUGGUGCGCCCCCCACCCUAGGGUUUCCAACCCUAGGUGUAGGGGGGCCCAAGGGGGGCGCACCAGCCCACUAGGGGCUGGUUCCCCUCCCACUUCAGCCCACGGGGCCCUCUGGGAUAGGCGGCCCCACCCGGUGGACCCCCGGGACCCUUCCGGUGGUCCCGGUACAAUACCGGGUGACCCCGAAACUUUCCCGAUGGCCGAAACAGCACUUCCUAUAUAUAAUUUUUUACCUCCGGACCAUUCCGGAACUCCUCAUGACGUUAGGGAUCUCAUCCGGGACUCCGAACAACAUUCGGUUUGCUGCAUACUCAUAUUCAUACAACCCUAGGAUCACCGAACCUUAAGUGUGUACACCCUACGGGUUCGGGAGACAUGUAGACAUGACCGAGACGGCUCUCCGUUCAAUAACCAACAGCGGGAUCUGGAUACCCAUGUUGGUUCCCACAUGCUCCUCGAUGAUCUCAUUGGAUGAACCAUGAUGUCGAGGAUUUAAGCAACCCCGUAUACAAUUCCCUUUGUCAAACGGUAUGUUACUUGCCCGAGAUUCGAUCGUCGGUAUCCCAAUACCUCGUUCAAUCUCAUUACCGGCAAGUCACUUUACUCGUACCAUAAUGCAUGAUACUGUGACCAGACACUUGGUCACUUUGAGCUCAUUAUGAUGAUGCACUACCGAGUGGGCCCAGUGAUACCUCUCCGUAAUACGGAGUGACAAAUCCCAGUCUCGAUCCGUGUCAACCCAACAGACACUUUAAGAGAUACCUAUAGUGCACCUUUAUAGUCACCCAGUUACGUUGUGACGUUUGGUACACCCAAAGCACUCCUACGAUAUCCGGGAGUUACACGAUCUCAUGGUCUAAGGAAAAGAUACUUGACAUUGGAAAAGCUCUAGCAAAACGAACUAUACGAUCUUGUGCUAUGCUUAGGAUUGGGUCUUGUCCAUCACAUUAUUCUCCUAAUGAUGUGAUCCCGUUAUCAACGACAUCCAAUGUCCAUAGUCAGGAAACCAUGAAUAUCUGUUGAUCAACGGGCUAGUCAACUAGAGGCUCACUAGGGACAUGUUGUGGUCUAAGUAUUCACACAUGUAUUACGAUUUCCAGAUAAUACAAUUAUAGCAUGAAUAAAAGACAACUAUCAUGAACAAAGAAAUAUAAUAAUAAUCCUUUUAUUAUUGCCUCUAGGGAAUAUUUCCAACAGUCUCCCACUUGCACUAGAGUCAAUAAUCUAGUUACAUUGUGAUGUAUCAAACACCCAUAGAGUUUUGGUGUUGAUCAUGUUUUUCUCGUGGAAGAGGUUUAGUCAACGGAUCUACGACAUUCAGAUCCGUAUGUACUUUGCAAAUAUCUAUGUCUCCAUCUUGAACAUUUUCACGGAUGGAUUUGAAACGACGCUUGAUGUGCCUGGUCUUCUUGUGAAACCUGGGCUCUUUGGCAAGGGCAAUAGCUCCAGUGUUGUCACAGAAGAGAGUGAUCGGCCCCGACGCAUUGGGUAUGACUCCUAGGUCGGUGAUGAACUCCUUCAUCCAUAUUGCUUCAUGCGCUGCCUCCGAGGAUGCCAUGUACUCUGCUUCACAUGUAGAUCCCACCACAACGCUCUGCUUGCAAUUGCACCAGCUUACUGCUCCAUGAUUCAACAUAUACACAUAUCCGGUUUGUGACUUAGAGUCAUCCAGAUCUGUGUCGAAGCUAGCAUCGACGUAACCCUUUACAACGAGCUCUUCGUCACCUCCAUAAACGAGAAACAUGUCCUUUGUCCUUUUCAGGUACUUCAGGAUAUUCUUGACCGCUGUCCAGUGUUCCUUGCCGGGAUUACUUUGGUAUUUUCCUACCAAACAUACGGCAAGGUUUACAUCAGGUCUGAUACACAGCAUGGCAUACAUAAUAGAUCCUAUGGCUGAGGCAUAGGGGAUGACACUCAUCUCUUCUUUAUCUUUUGCCGUGGUUGGGCAUUGAGCCGAGCUCAAUCUCACACCUUGCAAUACAGGCAAGAACCCUUUCUUGGACUGAUCCAUUUUGAACUUCUUCAAAAUCUUAUCAAGGUAUGUGCUUUGUGAAAGACCUAUGAGGCGUCUUGAUCUAUCCCUAUAGAUCUUGAUGCCUAAUAUGUAAGCAGCUUCUUCAAGGUCCUUCAUUGAAAAACACUUAUUUAAGUAGGCCUUAAUGCUGUCCAAGAAUUCUAUAUCAUUUACCAUCAAAAGUAUGUCAUCUACAUAUAAUAUGAGAAAUGCUACAGAGCUCCCACUCACUUUCUUGUAAACGCAGGCUUCUCCAUAAGUCUGCAUAAACCCAAACGCUUUGAUCAUCUCAUCAAAGCGAAUGUUCCAACUCCGAGAUGCUUGCACCAGCCCAUAAAUGGAUCGUUGGAGCUUGCACACCUUGUUAGCAUUCUUAGGAUCGACAAAACCAUCCGGCUGCAUCAUAUACAGCGCUUCCUUAAGAUAACCGUUAAGGAAUGCCAUUUUGACAUCCAUCUGCCAUAUCUCAUAAUCAUAGUAUGCGGCAAUUUCUAACAUGAUUCGGACGGACUUAAGCUUCGCUACGGGAGAGAAAGUCUCAUCGUAGUCAACUCCUUGAACUUGCCGAUAACCCUUAGCGACAAGUCGAGCUUUAUAGAUGGUGACAUUACCAUCCGCGUCUGUCUUCUUCUUAAAGAUCCAUUUGUUUUCUAUCGCUCGCCGAUCAUCGGGCAAGUCAGUCAAAGUCUAUAGUUUGUUUUCAUACAUGGAUUCUAUCUCGGAUUGCAUGGCUUCUAGCCGUUUGUUGGAAUCUGGGCCCGCCAUCGCUUCUUCAUAGUUCGAAGGUUCACCGUUGUCUAACAACAUGAUUUCCAGGACAGGGUUGCCAUACCACUCUGGUGUGGAACGUGUCCUUGUGGACCAACGAAGUUCAGUAGCAACUUGAUCUGAAGUACCUUGAUCAUCAUCAUUAAUUUCCUCUCCAGUCGGUGUAGGCACCACAGGAACAUUUUCCUGAGCUGCACUACUUUCCGGUACAAGAGGUAGUACUUCAUCGAGUUCUACUUUCCUCCCACUUACUCCUUUCGAUAAAAACUCUUUUUCCAGAAAGGAUCCGUUCUUGGCAAUAAAGAUCUUGCCUUCGGAUCUAAGGUAGAAGGUAUACCCAAUGGUUUCCUUAGGGUAUCCUAUGAAGAUGCAUUUUUUCGACUUGGGUUCGAGCUUUUCAGGUUGAAGUUUCUUGACAUAAGCAUCGCAUCCGCAAACUUUUAGAAACGACAGCUUAGGUUUCUUCCCAAACCAUAAUUCAUACAGUGUCGUCUCAACGGAUUUAGACGGUGCCCUAUUUAAAGUGAAUGUAGCUGUCUCUAGAGCGUAUCCCCAAAAUGAUAGUGGUAAAUCGGUAAGAGACAUCAUAGAUCGCACCAUAUCCAAUAGAGUGCGAUUAUGAUGUUCGGACACACCGUUACACUAACAUGUUCCAGGUGGCGUGAGUUGUGAAAUGAUUCCACAUUUCCUUAAGUGCGUACCAAAUUCGUGACUUAAAUAUUCUCCUCCACAAUCCGAUCGUAAGAAUUUUAUCUUUUGGUCACGCUGAUUCUCUACUUCAUUCUGAAAUUCCUUGAACUUUUCAAAGGUCUCAGACUUGUGUUUCAUCAAGUACACAUACCCAUAUCUACUUAAGUCAUCAGUGAGAGUGAGAACAUAACAAUAUCCUCCGCGAGCCUCAACGCUCAUCGAACCACACACAUCAGUAUGUAUGAUUUCCAAUAAGUUGGUUGCUCGCUCCAUUGUUCCAGAGAACGGAGUCUUGGUCAUUUUUCCCAUGAGGCAUGGUUCACAUGUGUCAAAUGAUUCAUAAUCAAGAGACUCUAAAAGUCCAUCAGCAUGGAGCUUCUUCAUGCGCUUGACACCAAUGUGACCAAGGCGGCAGUGCCACAAGUAUGUGGGACUAUCGUUAUCAACUUUACAUCUUUUGGUAUUCACACUAUGAAUAUGUGUAACAUUAUGUUCAAGAUUCAUUAAGAAUAAACCAUUGACCAUCGGGGCAUGACCAUAAAACAUAUCUCUCAUAUAAAUAGAACAACCAUUAUUCUCGGAUUUAAAUGAGUAGCCAUCUCGUAUUAAACAAGAUCCAGAUACAAUGUUCAUGCUCAAACUUGGCACUAAAUAACAAUUAUUGAGGCUCAUAACUAACCCCGUGGGUAAAUGUAGAGGUAACAUGCCGACGGCGAUCACAUCGACCUUGGAACCAUUCCCGACGCGCAUCGUCACCUCGUCCUUCACCUGUCUCCGCUUAUUCCGCAGCUCCUGCUGUGAGUUACAAAUGUGAGCAACGGCACCGGUAUCAAAUACCCAGGAGUUACUACGAGUACUGGUAAGGUACACAUCAAUUACAUGUAUAUCACAUAUACCUUUAGUGUUGCCGGCCUUCUUGUCCGCUAAGUAUUUGGGGCAGUUCCGCUUCCAGUGACCCUUCCCUUGCAAUAAAAGCACUCAGUCUCAGGCUUGGGUCCAUUCUUUCACUUCUUUCCAGCAACUGGCUUGCCGGGAGUGGCAACAUCUUUGCCGUCCUUCUUGAUGUUCUUCUUACCCUUGCCCUUCUUGAACUUGGUGGUUUUAUUGACCAUCAACACUUGAUGUUCUUUCUUGAUUUCAACCUCUGCUGACUUCAGCAUUGAGAAUACUUCAGGAAUGGUCUUCACCAUCCCCUGCAUAUUGUAGUUCAUCACAAAGCUCUUGUAGCUCGGUGGGAGCGACUAAAGGAUUCUGUCAAUGACCGCCUCGUCCGGGAGGUUAAUGUCCAGCUGGGAUAGGCAGUUGUGCAACCCAGACAUUUUGAGUAUGUGCUCACUGACAGAACUAUUUUCCUCCAUCUUACAACUAUAGAACUUGUCGAAGACUUCAUAUCUCUCGACCCGGGCAUGAGCUAGAAAAACCAUUUUCAGCUCCUCGAACAUCUCAUAUGCUUCGUGUUGCUCAAAACGCUUUUGGAGCCCCGGUUCUAAGCUGUAAAGCAUGCUGCACUGAACGAGGGAGUAAUCAUCAGCACGUGACUGCCAAGCGUUCAUAACGUCUUGGUUCUCUGGGAUGGGUGCUUCACCUAGUGGUCCUUCUAGGACAUAUGCUUUCUUGGCUGCUAUGAGGAUGAUCCACAGGUUCCGGACCCAGUCCAAAUAAUUGCUGCCAUCAUCUUUCAGCUUGGUUUUCUCUAGGAACGCGUUGAAGUUCAUGUUGACAUGAGCGUUGGCCAUUUGAUCUACAAGACAUAUUUUGCAAAGAUUUUAGACUAAGUUCAUGAUAAUUUAGUUCAUCUAAUCAAAUUAUUUAAUGAGCUCCCACUCUGAUUGACAUCCCUCUUGUCAUCUAAGUGUUACACGAUUCGAGUCGACUAGGCCGUGCCCGAUCAUCACGUGAGACGGACUAGUCAUCAUCGGUGAACAUCUCCAUGUUGAUCGUAUCUUCCAUACGACUCAUGUUCGACCUUUUGGUCUCUUGUGUUCCGAGGCCAUGUCUGUACAUGCUAGGCUCGUCAAGUUAACCCUAAGUGUUUUGCAUGUGUAAAACUGUCUUACACCUGUUGUAUGUGAACGUAAGGAUCUAUCACACGCGAUCAUCACGUGGUGCUUUGAAACGAUGAACUUUAGCAAUGACGCACAGUUAGGGGGAACACUUUCUUGAAAUUAUUAUAAGGGAUCAUCUUAUUUACUACCGACGUUCUAAGUAAACAAGAUGCAUAAAACAUAAUAAACAUCACAUGCAAUUAUAUAAAGUAGUGACAUGAUAUGGCCAAUAUCAUAUAGCUCCUUCGAUCUCCAUCUUCGGGGCUCCAGGAUCAUAUUCGUCACCGGCAUGACACCAUGAUCUCCAUCAUCAUGAUCUCCAUCAUCGUGCCUCCAUGAAGUUGCUCGCCAACUAUUACUUCUACUACUAUGGCUAACGGUUUAGCAAUUAAGUAAAGUAAUUACAUGGCGUUAAAUCAUUGACACACAGGUCAUACAAUAAUUAAUACAACUCCUAUGGCUCCUUCCGGUUGUCAUACUCAUCGACAUGCAAGUCGUGAUUCCUAUUACAAGAACAUGAUCUCAUACAUCACAAUAUAUCAUUCAUCAUUCAUCACAACUUUUGGCCAUAUCACAUCACAAAGCAAUUGCUGCAAAAACAAGUUAGACGUCCUCUAAUUGUUGUUGCAUCUUUUACGUGGCUGCAAUUGGGUUCCAGCAAGAACGUUUUCUUACCUACGAAUAACCACAACGUGAUUUUGUCAACUUCUAUUUACCCUUCAUAAGGACCCUUUUCAUCGAAUCCACUCCAACUAAAGUAGGAGAGACAGACACCCGCUAGCCACCUUAUGCAACUAGUGCAUAUCAUUCGGUGGAACCUGUCUCACGUAAGCAUACGUGUAAGGUCGGUCCGGGCUGCUUCAUCCCACAAUACCGCUGAAGCAAGAAAAGACUAGUAGUGGCAAGCAAGUUGACAAGAUCUACGCCCACAACAGAUUUGUGUUCUACUCGUGCAAUUGAGAACUACGCAUAGACCUAGCUCAUGAUGUCACUGUUGGGGAACGUUGCAUAAAAUAAAAAAAUUCCUACAUUCACCAAGAUCCAUCUAUGAGUUCAUCUCGCAACGAGAGAGAGAGAUGCAUCUACAUACCCUUGUAGAUCGCGUGCGGAAGCGUUCAAGAGAACGGGGUUGAGGUAGUCGUUCUCGUCGUGAUCCUAUCACCGGAGAUCCUAGCGCCGAACGGACGGCACCUCCGCGUUCAACACACGUACGGUCAGCGUGACGUCUCCUCCGUAUUGAUUCAGCAAGGGGAAAGGAGAGGUUGAUGAAGAUCCAGCAGCACGACGGUGUGGUGGUGGAUGCAGUAGGACUCCGGCAGGGCUUCGCCAAGCAACUGCGGGAGGAGGAAGAGGUGUAGCAAGGGGAGGGAGGCGGCAAGACUCAGGGUGCGGCUGCCCUCCCUCCCCCCUCCUUUAUAUAGGCCCCUUGGGGGGGUGCCAGCCCUGGAGAUGGGAAUCUCCCAAGGGGGCGGCGGCCAGGGGGGUGGAGUGCCCCCCAAGGCAAGUGGUGCGCCCCCCACCCUAGGGUUUCUAACCCUAGCCGCAGGGGGGCCCCAAGGGGGGGCGCACCAGCCCACUAGGGGCUGGUUCCCCUCCGACUUCAGCCCACGGGGCCCUCCGGGAUAGGUGGCCCCACCCGAUGGACUCCUGGGACCCUUCUGGUGGUCCCGGUACAAUACGGGGUGACCCCGAAACUUUCCCGAUGGCCGAAACAGCACUUCCUAUAUAUAAUGAUUUACCUCCGGACCAUUCCAGAACUCCAAGUGACGUCCGGGAUCUCAUCCGGGACUCCGAACAACAUUCGGUUUGCUGCAUACUCAUAUUCAUACAACCCUAGCGUCACCGAACCUUAAGUGUGUAGACCCUACGGGUUCGGGAGACAUGUAGACAUGACCGAGACGGCUCUCCGGUCAAUAACCAACAGCGGGAUCUGGAUACCCAUGUUGGUUCCCACAUGCUCCUCGAUGAUCUCAUCGGAUGAACCACGAUGUUGAGGAUUUAAGCAACCCCGUAUACAAUUCCCUUUGUCAAACGGUAUGUUACUUGACCGAGAUUCGAUCGUCGGUAUCCCAAUACCUCGUUCAAUCUCGUUACCGGCAAGUCACUUUACUCGUACCGUAAUGCAUGAUCCCGUGGCCAGACACUUGGUCACUUUGAGCUCAUUAUGAUGAUGCACUACCGAGUGGGCCCAGUGAUACCUCUCCGUAAUACAGAGUGACAAAUCCUAGUCUCGAUCUGUGUCAACCCAACAGACACUUUCAGAGAUACCUGUAGUGCACCUUUAUAGUCACCCAGUUACAUUGUGACGUUUGGUACACCCAAAGCACUCCUACGGUAUCCGGGAGUUACACGAUCUCAUGGUCUAAGGAAAAGAUACCUGACAUUGGAAAAGCUCUAGCAAAACGAACUAUACGAUCUUGUGCUAUGCUUAGAUUGGGUCUUGUCCAUCACAUUAUUCUCCUAAUGAUGUGAUCCCGUUAUCAAAGACAUCCAAUGUCCAUAGUCAGGAAACCAUGACUAUCUGUUGAUCAACGAGCUAGUCAACUAGAGGCUCACUAGGGACAUGUUGUGGUCUAAGUAUUCAACGUGUAUUACGAUUUCCGGAUAAUACAAUUAUAGCAUGAAUAAAAGACAACAAUCAUGAACAAAGAAAUAUAAUAAUAAUCCUUUUAUUAUUGCCUCUAGGGCAUAUUUCCAACCGCCUCUCCCACCGGAACGCAUGAUCGGUUGUCAAGACCACGGACACGGUUAGACGAGUCCAAUACAUUAUUUUUCACAAAUGGCUCGGCUAAAGCUGAGCCAGGAGUUGUACAUGUGUCCCCAUAAAUAAUACGAGGGGCUGCAAACAUGUAACACAAGCCCACAAUUCGGCUUGCCUUGUUAACAGGCCGGAUCUCGAACAUUUCUCGAGCAUAACUAACUUUUCGCACGUUUUCAUUUUCUUUCGUUCUUACAGACACUACUAGUGCGACACCCUUCCAGGAUAUGGCACAACGGAGACACAGGCGCAGACGUGCAGCACGGCCCCACCCACAGGUUUCUCUUUAGAUUAAGCCCCUGCAUAAACCUUGUUUACUGUCUCUUGUUGCUCAACAUACCAUGGGUAUUUCAUAAACCUAUAAGGGACAUUGGCGUCUUAGGCUUUUGGCCACGACAGAUCAAUGCGCGUACCUGGAAUCACAUGGUCAAGGGCAUUAUUCAGCCCAAUAUAUGUUAUAAAGUCCGAAUACCUUCGGGAGUGUUCGGCGUCAUGAGUUUGGCCUUAUACGCAUCAGCUCCGAAUCAUGUCUUUGGUCAAAAGUUGGGUUAGCCCGGCUCCUGGGUUUGCUGCCUUACGCUCCGUUCUAUUGGCUAAGGCGACCAAAGGAGAACUGUCGGUGUUCUGGGAAUGGGGGUCCCCAGACUUGCCUGCCUGCGGCCUACGGCGUGGAUAAAGGGGUGGCCCAGCACGACCCAUCUCCAUCAGCAUGAGCUCAAGACCCUCGCGAGGGGCCAAGCCUCGUGGGGUGGGCGGCAGGAAGUUUCCUCAAGCAUGGCCUCGUUAGGCUGGCUCGCGAGGAGGCGGAGAGAUCAAGGCGGGGCACCUCGCGAGGUGCCCAUGAAGCAAGCCAUGACGACCAAGGGCGCCAGGCGGGCCCCAGCCCGUGCAGUGUCCUCCUUUCCUCUUUGGUGCAAAGGGAGCAAGCGCAGGCGAGAGCAUCAAGCAAAGGCAUCCAUUUCGGUGCAACAAGACCAAGACUGUCGCAAUGGCAGGAAGGAAGUCAUUGUGGAGCCCAAGCCGGCGUCAACAUCAGAGCCUUUGACAGGUGAGGACCAACUUUAGUCAUGAUAAGUGUACUAGAUGUUCCCCUUCAAAAUGGCCAAUUGUUGGUGCCCUUCCCGCUCGAUAAUUGGGAAGAGGCUCAGGGUCUUUGCCUAUAAAUAGGACUAGCCACUCUCAAGGCAGGGGAUCGACGCAUCGAACCUUAGCCAGAACCACCAAUGCAAGAACCCUUCCCCUCGCGAGGCUGUUCUUCCUUGUAUUGUUCAUCAUUAGCCCAAGAGGCAAUCCACCACACCACAAACUAGAGUAGGUUUUUACACCACAAUGGUGGCCCAAACUAGUAUAAACCCUGUGUCUCUUGUGUUUCUCUUUUCAUAGCUUUGAUCCUAGCGAGGUUGUGAGGUGCAGGUACGUAGAGGGCGAAAUCUCCGUGCGCACCCCAGUGUUUGAAUCUAGAGGGUCUGCCGGAACCCAAAAUCCGACAUUUGGCACGCCAGGUAGGGGUGUGUCGAGGCUUUUCCUUCCACCGACCCGCUCUCCGUCGACACCGCGACUCGCCCUGCGAUGAGCAGCGCGCCGCCUGCUCCGGUCGUCGCGGCCCUCCUGGGCGGCUCGCAGCCACCACCUUCAGGCUGCCGCGUCAAGCCAUUCGUCCGCCAGGUCGGCGCUACCUCCACGCGAUAGGGGGCUCCCUCAGGUCGGUCGGCGCUCAAGGCCGAUCUGGCCUUCAGCUCGGAGGACCACCCCUCCAACUCAGCCUGCUCGGGCGUGCUCCCGAUGCUGUGCACCCCCACCAUCUGCUAGGUGGCCGUCACCAGGACUCUCAUCAACGGCGGCUCGGGCCUCAGCGUGCUCUCGAUUGAAGCCUUCAGCCUCCUCCACAUACCACCGGAGCGGCUUCAGCCCAGCCGGCCCUUCUUGGGUGUUGGGGGCGGGUCAUCCAGCUCUCUGGGGCAGAUCCGUCUCCCGGUAACCUUCGGCACAUACGACAACUUCCGCACGGAGCUAAUCGACUUCGGCAUCGCCCCCAUCGGCCUCCCGUACAAUGCCAUCUUCGGCUACCCAGCGCUGGCCCGAUUCAUGGCCGCGACUCACCCGACAUACAACCUCAUGAAAAUGCCCGGGAGCAGCGGCGUCCUCACCAUGUGCGAAGACACCGGGGAUGCGUUGCAAGCGCUCAAGCUCUCCUUUAAGGCGGCGGCUUCGGCGCAGCCUGCCGACUCGGACGCCCCUGAGCCCAAGGGGGCAGCGCCAGCCAAGAAGAAGCAGUUGUUCACCCAAGACAAGGCAGAAACCAAACAGAUGUUAGUUGACGAGGAUGGAUCCACUGACGCCACCUUCACCAUAGGCGCCAACCUCGAGCCCGAGCAGGAAGAGGCCCUGAUCAAGUUCCUGCGCGCGAACAAGAAGGUAUUCGUGUGGGAGCCCGAUCAGCUGGAGGGGAUCCCUAGAGGCGUAAUCGAGCACCACCUCAACGUGUGCCCCAAUGUCCACCCCGUGAAGCAGAAAGUAAGACGGCAGUCCAUAGAAAAGCAGGCUUUCAUCGUCCAAGAGACCCGCAAGUUGGAAGCUGCAGGGGUCAUUCGUGAGGUCCGAUACCCGGAUUGGUUGGCCAACCCAGUCGUUGUGCCAAAGAAAGGGGGGAAGGAACGUAUGUGUGUCGACUUCACCAACCUCAACAAAGCUUGACCGCAAGAUCCGUUCCCGCUCCCCCGCAUUGAUCAGAUCAUUGACUCCACCACCGAGUGCGACCUGUUAUGUUUCUUGGAUGCCUUCUCUGGGUAUCACCAGAUCAAGAUGGCGGUAGAAGAUGUGGAAAAAACGGCCUUUAUAACCCCAUGUGGGGUAUACUGCUACACAUGCAUGCCGUUCGGACUGCGCAAUGCAGGGGCGACCAUUCAGCAGCUGAUGCACAUCACCUUGGGCCCCCAGCUCAGGAAAAACGUCGAGGCUUACAUUGAUGACAUUGUGGUGAAGUCUCGCGAGGCCAAGACCCUGAUACAACACCUGGAGGAAACCUUCGCGAGCCUCAACGCUGUGAGCCUGCAGCUCAACCCAGAGAAGUGUGUGUUUGGGGUCCCCUCAGGCAAGCUCUUGGGCUUCCUCGUGUCUCACCGAGGCAUCGAGGCUAACCCAGAAAAGGUCAAGGCGGUCGAGGACAUGAGCCUGCCAAAGACCCUCAGAGAAAUGCAGAAGCGCACUGGGCGUGUGACGGCACUAGGACGCUUCAUCUCCAAGUUGGGGGAGCGAGCAUUGCCUUUCUUCCAGCUGAUGAAGAAAAAGGGACCCUUUGAAUGGACUGAAGAGGCCGCCUCAAUUUGGCACAUUCAGCGGCCUGGUCUAUUGCCGAACCCUUAGCAACCUACACAUCAAUACAAGUGCGAUCAUUAUCUAGGAGUAUGAUCCUCCGUUUGCCGCCAUGGGCUGACAUCCACAGUCUCUGGGGCUAUUAUCUAUACAGAGCGCAUGUAUCGCAUGCGGUACAAAAACUGCGUAUUUUUGCUGCUUUCCUCAAAGCCUUUAAGCAGGCUCCUGAAGGCUUCAUUCAAACCGCUUGUGGCGAAGGAGAUUUUCUCCAACGCCGUACCCAUUAAUGUAUGAUGAUCCUCCAAGAGAGCAGCUGACUCCAGGAGGCCCAUCAGCGUGUUCAGCCAGACACCGGACUCUCCCGGACCCUUUUCAUUGUCCGCCACGGGAGCCAAACGCGUUGGGCUCGGGGCAGCCGAAGUGUUAGCUUCCGGCCCCAUUGGAUCUGGACUCCUCUGUGAUGAUACCUCUGGGUCGCCCGCUUCAUGGGAUGGAGAAGCAGGUGGGGUUUCACUCCCCAUCAUCUCCGGAAGAAGAUCCCCCGAGGACGAGCCCUGUUGAGAUGAACUGCUGACCGGACUGCAAAAAACAGGUUCCGGUUAUUACUCUCAGAGGACAAAGCAAUACGUUCCUUGUUUAAUUAGACUUACAGCUCGAUGGAGGAUUGGCCCGUUUGCGGGCAUUGUGCGGUGAGGACGCCAUUCGGGGCAGGGCCCUUUGGUGAAGUUCUCUUCCCUUGUUUAGGCGCCCCCGUCUCCAAAUCUUUGGAGGCGGCCCUCUUCCUCCCGCGGUGGGAGGAAACCUCAGAUUUGCCUCCCCGAUUCUCCUCCUCCGUGGAGGCGCUAAUUCCCCUGUUUGGAUGCGCAAUAUGUGAGGCCCACUCUUAGCCUCCCCACUCUUCCCUUCAGCUUUCUCUGGUGGCACCUGACUUAGUGUCCGUUUAAAGAUCCUGGCCAUUGCCGGGCCAGGCGAACCUUCGGGAAGAGGGGCCGGACACCUGAUCCUCUCCGCCUUACUAAGCCAAGCCUGGUUGCGGACAGCGUUCAGAACAAUGCUAUGACAAAUAUAAGCAAGGUGUUCGGUUAUAGGGUUACUUACUUGGGUAUCAAGGCGAUUGCAGCUCAGGCCCACAUCCUUGGUGGUGUCCGGACACUUUAUUCGUGGUCCGAAGAACAACUUAUACAUCCCUUCGGGCGUCGUGCUGAAGAAGUGCUGAAUGGUUCGCAGACCUUCUGGAUUGAAUUCCCACAUCCAGAGAGGCCGACGUUUGCACGGCAGGAUCUGCCAAACUAGCAUUACUUGGAUUAUUUUGACGAGACUAAUGUCCCUCUAGAGGAGCUCCCGAAUGCGGCUUUGUAUCAUUGAUACAUUGUUCGCAGGCCCCCAGUUUAGUCCCACAUUGGCCCACGAUGCUACUUGUGGUGGAGGGACCGAGCGAAAGGCAGGCGCGGCCACCCACUUCGAGCCUCGAGGAGCUGUGACAUAGAACCGCCUCCGUUGCCAUAAAUCGGAUACCUUCGGGAAGGAGCCUUCGGGCCACGGGGCAUCGACGUUCCUACUUAUUAUGGCAUCUCGGCACUCUACGUGUCGCCCCUCAAUCAUCUUCGGCUUCAUAUUGAAAGUCUUGAGCCAUAAGCCGAAGUGGGGGGUGAUGUGGAGAAAGGCUUCACACACAACGAUAAAUGACGAGAUGUGGAGGAUGGAAUCCGGAGCUAGAUCGUGGGAAUUCUUGCCCGUAGUAGAACAUGAGCCCCAUCACAAAGGGAUCAAGAGUGAGACCUAAGCCCCGGAGGAAGUGGGAGACAAAUACAAUGCUCUCGUUGGUCUAGGGAGUGUGGAUAACCUGUUAGGGAGCAAGAAGCCUAUGCUUGACAUCGGCGAUCAAAUACCCAGCCUCCCUGAGCUUCGCAAUAUCGUCCUCUGUGACAGAGGAAGCCAUUCAUCGGCCUUGAUGGUCAGAUCCGGACAUGAUCGAAGAUCCGGGGUGUUUAAGCUCGAGCUUUGGGUGUUGGAACUCAGGGUGCGAGAUGUGCGAGCAUGGAGAUAGAGGGAUAGGCCUCGACUCCUUUAUAAAGGGGGAAGAAUAUCAAGCGUCCCCGAACGUGGUCGUUCGGGACUUGCCUAAAAACACGGGGUCCCGUUACUACAGGAUUCUUAUCAAUACGGGUAUGGGUAAUCCAACCAUGCCUAAUAUCAACCGUGGAUUACCGAUACCCGUAUUGAUGAGAAUCCCGUAGUAAGGGAGACACGAUCUCUGCUCUGACAGGACGUGCCAAGGAAACCGCCUCGUGGUGUGUGCAGUAGCAAGUCAUAAAAACGGUUCGAAUAAAAACUACACCAUGGCGUGAUGUCACUUUUCGAAGAAUUGUAAGUAGAUUAGAUUCAUGGAUUAUUUUUAUUCUCUCUACGAUGGCAUACGGAAUUUAUCUUGCAGAGCCGGACACGGUCCUUGUGUUCAGAAUUUAUCUUGGAGUAUUCGGAGAUGGAACCCGCCUCGCAAUGCCGAAGACAAUCGACGUGUCGGACUCAUCGUUAUUGAAACCUGGUUCAGGGUCUACUGAGGGAGUCCUGGAUAAGGGGGUAUCCGGACAGCCGUACUAUGUACUUUGGCCGGACUGUUGGACUGUGAAGAUACAAGAUUGAAGACUUUGUCCCGUGUCCAGAUGGGACUCUCCUUGGCAUGGAAGGCAAGCUUGGCGAUUCGGAUGCAGAUCUCCUCCUCUGUAAACUGACUCUGUGUAACCCUAGCCCUCUUCGGUGUCUAUAUAAACCAGAGGGUUUAGUCCGUAGGACACAACCAAUAACAACAAUCAUGCCAUAGGCUAGCUUCUAGGGUUUAGGCUCUCAGAUCUUGUGGUAGAUCAACUCUUGUAAUACUCAUAUCAUCAAGAUCAAUCAAGUAGGAAGUAGGGUAUUACCUCCAUCGAGAGGGCCCGAACCUGGGUAAACAUCGUGUCCCCAGCCUCCUAUUACCAUUAGCCUUAGACGCAUAGUUCGGGACCCCCUACCCGAGAUCCGCCGGUUUUGACACCGAUAGCGCCCUUGCUCUGUUUCGAGUCUGCUCAAGAGUUCGAGUGGCUGCGCUAAGAGCGGCAAGGUGUCUCACUGGCAGCGACACCCCCAGCAUGUUGCUAAGGAUAUGUUCCUCAAAGCGCUUGCUACAAGGGUGUGUGCACCGGAAAGUUCUUUUUCCAAUAAAGCGUAGGGUGUAUGCCAUACAAAGAGAGAUCAAACUAGAAACAUAGCAUGCAUUCAUCCAAAACACAACAAGUUAUAUUACGUCAGUGGUUGCCACAGUUCUAACUUAAGGUAGAUGGUCUUGGGUACGAGUUCGUGGCAGCAAGGAGAAGCGAAGCGGCUAGUCCCUGCGCUGGCCUUCCACCCUCUUGACUUGGUCCACCACAUCAACGAUAGGAGCAACGAGCUCCUCAAGCGCCUUGCGGUCCGCAUCCUCUGGCAAGCUCUCAAGCACGUUGGUGAGGUCGAGGUCGGGGUUCCAGUACGCCACCUUGGUGAGCGCCUUAAGAAGGAUGGCCCAACAAAGCUUGCGGGUUUUGUUGACCAGUUGGGUUGCUCGGCCAGUGUGGAGCAGCUUCAGGGCGUCAAGAAGGGCCUCAAAGAACAUGGCCAGUCUGGCGCUCGAAGUUAUCCUCUCAUCGCGAGAAUACCUGAAACUUGACAGGCCCAUGGUGGAUAGUUGUGUUGUGAGCCUCUUUGCGACGCCGAUCAGGCGCUCAGUCCAGAUCCCCAUGCCUUUCACAUAGUCGUUGUAGGUGGCGACGACGCUCUCAAGAAGUUUCUUCUAUUCCCGGAGGUCCUUGGCCAGGGUCUUCUCACGAGCCCUUCCUCCCUCAAGGGACUCCUCCAGUGUGGUCAGCUUCAGCCUCAAAUCGGCAAUGGAGUCAUCGGCGGCAGAGAUCUGGUUGGUCUUCUCAGAUAUGGUGACCUGCAACUCUGCCAAGGUGUAGGAAGUUUUCUCUCUGUCGCUCUUGAGAGUCGAGACCUCCUUGCUGUGCUUAUCCAGAUCCACCUCCAGUUUCUCCACCUUCCUAGCCAGCUCAUUCUUGGUGGCCUUUGCGACUUCAGCGGCGUCGACAACUUUCUUCAACUUGCUAGCGUGAUCCAUGACCAGAGCGUCGAGUGUGUCCUUAUGCUUUUGUUUCAGCUCCUGGAUCCGCUGUGCGACAAGUUUUUCAAUUUCUUCAUCCUUUCCGCGGAGCUUGUUGGCAAGUGCCCCUUCACGAGUGGCAAGGUCCUCUUCUUAAGCGUCGAGAAGGACACAAUGCUCCCUUAGUUGGGCAUCAUCCUUGGCGGCCUAUGCAGCGGCCUCGUCCUGGGCCUUCUCAACAUCGGACUGCUUCAGGAUGAGCUUGUUCCAAUGAUGGCUCAGCUACUCUUGGCUAGUCUUCAGCUCCUACCGGGCUUCGGCAAACCAGACCUGCAUCUGCUCGACGCACUUCUGAAAGUCUGCCUCUACCGCAUCGACAACUGCCACCCUGGAUUCUAGUUUCUCCUUGUAGGCAUGGUGAAGCGCCUGGAGUUUUUGAAAGUUGCUACUCAUGGCUUGGAGGAGCCAGUCUUCCUUGGAACUGCUGUUGUUGGCGCUCGGCUCGUCGACAACCUUGAGCCCAGCGGCGACAAUGAAUUUUCGUCAAAAACCUCCCCCUCGGUUGGCACUCCGGUGCUUGCCAUCCCCGAGAUGCUGACGAACAGAUCGUCACCUACCUUCAGAUAUCUGCUUAGGGUGGGGGCUUCGGAAGUUGACGGUGGUCGUCGACCAUCGUCUCCCCGGCAGCUGAGGACUCCGAGACCGAUGUAGCAUCAGGCGCUCCUGCGGCACGGUUGCUGUCAGUACGGUCGCCGGUCUCCUUGACGGCCCCCCCGGUAGACCCCUUGGUGGUCUCUUCAUGCACGUCCUUGGCGGCCUCGUCGGCAACGACUUUGGCGGCCUCGGCAACAGCAUCCUUGGCGGUCUCGUCCAUGAUGGCGUUGAUGUCCGUCUGGUCCGUCAAAGGGAGAUCUGAAAACCAAAAAGGGGAACAAGGAAAAACCAAAGCUUAAGCUCAAAGCGGAAAGAGAAGGAAGGAAAUUCAUAUAGAAAGAAUGGCGAGUGCCAGGAAGCAGGCGGCUUACCUGUGACGAGCUGUAGAGGGGUGGUUCCCUCCCCGACAACGCUUGUUGCCGGUAUGGAGCUGCCGACGCCUGUGCUCGCAGGCUCUUCCUCCACGCGUGUGGGCUCGUCGAUGGAAGCCCUUGCCAUGGACCCCUCCCUGGGUGGUGUGGUUGAUGGAGGCGGCAUGUCGGGGGUGGCCCUCAGCGGCUCCUCCGGUUACCGUUCUUCUCCUACGAACCCAACAAGGUUAGCAGUGAAGAUGCACACCCCGACACUCACUAGCAAAAAAUGAGUAACGGGCUCACGCUGGGUGCUGGGUUGGGGGUUGUGUUGUGGGCUGAGAUCCGGGCUGAUCAUGAUCGUCUUCGGUGCACCUAAGGUGCUUGCCGGGGGCUCGUCUCCUGUCGAGGUCUUGGUCUUCUUUGACAUCCUCUGUGCCAACGUUUCCGUGUCGCUGCGGAGACAAGCCAAGGAAAGAUCAAGUCAGAUAAGAAAACCAAAAUAGAGGCCGAGGGGAUGAAGAAAGCAGCAAGAUACUUACUUGUGUUCUUCUUCUGGCCUCCUCUUUCUCUUCGGGCUGAACGACGAGUGGUCGAAGUCGGCCUCCAGUAUGGUGUCCAUGCAAGGGGGGAGAUGGAGACCUGGGCCACUUGGCCGUGGCGGAGGCGGCGGCUGCUGCUUCCUUUGUCACCGCGGUCAUGCGCCUUAUAUGGCGCAUAUGUUGCGGUUGGGCCUCCUUCCGCUGCGCGGCCUUGCUGGCCGCCCCCUUGACGGGGACCUCUUCGCGCGAGGAGGUUUGGAAAUCUGGCUCGACGUAGCCAACCCGCCAGAGGACGCAUUUCUUCGUCCCCAGGACUAGGGGAUCCUCAUGCAACUCCUCUUCAGCUUCCUCUUCAGUCGUCUCUUCAGCUCUCCCCUCGGCAGAAGGGCCUCUGGUGGCGGUGCCAUUGUGCUCUCCGGUAGGCUCCCUCCGCUCGACAAAGUCUUACUCUGUGUCGGCCUCAUCUUCCCGGAAGCCGACACUGUCGGCCGCCUCGGCAAGGGCCAGCUCUUCCGCCCCGCUGGCGAUGUACGCCAAUUCCUCGUCAGUGGUGUCAUGGAUGAGGUUCGUCUCUUCCCGGAUGGCCUUCUCCGUCAAAGAGCUCUUGUGCCCGCUCUUCGGAUGGCUCGUCCCAAGUCUAAUCAAGGCCAUGGGAAUUGAACACCGCCAUCAUGGCGAUGAUCGAGUUCAGCGCCGAGUUGUUGAACAGAGGGACGAUGCCUGCCGGCAACUUGAACUUGUCGUCCGGCCUGAACAGCUUGUGACAGGGCGCGGCAUGCUGAAGGACCGUCCAGUUGUUGUUUAAGCCGGGGGAAACCUCAUGAUAUCCGCUAUGUUCCGGUACUCCCAAGCUGGUCUCCCCUUGUUCUGCUGAGGGCCGAUGUGGCAGCGGCGGAAAUCAGCGCCGACCAUUUCAAUGGUAAGCUCGGCAGCCUUGAGGCAAUGGAUCUUGUUGACGGAGAUUGCGAGCUUCUCGUCUUGAGGAUGGAGGGCGCUCCAGCCAUUGCCACAGGUCGGCAUCAUUUACCGGAGUGAGCAGAACAGGUGUGGCUCUUCCUCUGUGAUCCAGCACCAUCUGCUCCGCCACUCGUCCCACGUCUCGUGGUAAUCCCCAUCCGGGUAUGUGUCCUUGCUCCCCGCCCUAGGAAUCCAAGCGAUUCUGCUAGAAAGGGCCUCUCCGGCCUGGAUGCGAGGGAUGAAGAAAUGGAGGAAAAGGGCUAUGUGGGGGAUCACCUCGGAAAAGUUUUCGCAAAGACGAGCAAAGACAGACGUACAUGUUACUGCAUUUGGCAUAAAAUCAAGGAUAUGGAAGCCAAAUGUGAACAUGAUGUCAUUGAAAAAACGGAGAAAGGGGGCAGAGCCCGCAAUAGAAAUAGUCUGCAAAGUAGGGGAAUUUAUUUGCCCCCCCUCGAAUUUGGCGACUGGGGUCACACGAGUGGAGGGAUGCCCACUUGUCGCCCUUCCCCACAUGCACAGGUACCUGUCCCUCAGGGCGUACGCGUCGAGCAGCGGGGGGAAGACAGUGAGGUGCUUCCACAUCUUCGCCAGUUAGCUCUCUGGCACGCCCUUGCCCUUGUUCGCCUUGGGCACCUCUUUGCACUUACUCAUUUUGAACGCCAUGGCGACUGGGGGAGGAGAGAACCGAAGACGAUGGGAGUGUGGAAGGAGCGGUGGAUGAGAAAGCUAAAUUUCAGGCUCAAGGAAGAAGAAGACGGAGGCUCCUAGAUUGGAAGGGCGAAAGGUAAAUGAGCGGCGCCUCUACGGAUUCUCCUUUUUAUGGGGAAGGCGCGAGGCCGCCCCCUUACUGUUUGAUGUGAAAACACUCGCGCGAACGUGCUACUGCUGCUGCCGUUCCACGCACGCAUCACAUGUUCCAAACCCAAUGCGGGUCAUGGGGAAGCGCAUCGGACGAGAUAAUUACAUCAGUUAAUCCCUACCACGCAUGUCCAUGCAUUGUUUUGGCCUAGCCCAACAACGCCUCGCGCUCAUGUGUGCCCAGGCCCGGGGGCUCCUGUCGGUGUACUAAAGUUUGGGCCUUUCUUAGUACCCCAUACUUGUGCACGGGCAGUUCCAGCCUCACCCGUGGCAAGCCCUGACGGGGACAGCUGGAAGCAAGUGCAAGACGACCAAGACGGCAUUUAGGUUAAUAAAUAAAGAACAGAAGACAAGCUGAGCUCCCGGCAAGAUCCUUGCCGGGAUGGCUCGCAAAGCCCCGGCAAGAUCCUUGUUGGGAUGGUCUGCGAAGCACCAGCAAGACCAUCACCCUUGAAGUUGAGAGCUCUGACACCAUCGACAAAGUCAAGACCAAGAUCCAGAGGCAUCUGCAUGGAGGUUGAUACGUCUCCAACGUAUCUAUAAUUUAUGAAGUAUUCGUGCCAUGUAUAUAAUAUUUUUACAUGAUUUUGGUAUGAUUUGAUUAGAACUAACCCGUACUGAUGCCGUUCUCAGCAGAACUACCGAAGUGUUAUUUUUGUGCAGAAAUAAAAUUUCUCGGAAUGCGCUGAAAAUUAACGGAGAAUAUUUUUGGAAAAUAUAAAAAAUACUAGAACAAAAAUCUAUAGGAGGGGAGUCCCGAGGGCACCACGAGGGUGGAGGGCACGCACCCCUGCCUUGUAGAAUCCCCAUGGGCCCCCUUGACGUGAAAUCAACGCCAACUCCUCCUAUAAAUCAAGAAAACCCUAGAACAAAAGAGAGAUCAGAAGUUCUGCUACCGCAAGCCUCUGUAGCCACAAGAAAUCAAUCUAGGCCCUCUCUAGCACCCUGCCGGAGGGGGCCAUCAUCACCGAAGGCCAUGGGGGGAUCACAGAGGGGCCAUCAUCGCCAUGGAGGCCAUGGACCAGAGGGAGAACCUCUCCGCAUCUAGGGGGGAGGCCAUGAAGGAGGAUACACAAGGGGGAGAACCUCUCCUCCUCUCUCUUGGUGGCACCGGAGUGCCAUCGGGAGGGGAAUCAUCGCGACGGUGAUCAUCUUCAUCAACAUCACCAUCAUCAUCACCAUCCUCAUCUCUUUUACGCGGUCCACUCUCCCGCACCCCACUGUAAUCCCUACUUGAACAUGGUGCUUGAUGCCACAUACUAUGAUCCAAUGAUGUGUUGCCAUCCUAUGAUGUUUUCAGUAGAUUUCUUUUGUCUUUGGGUUGGUUGAUGAUCUAUAUUGCUAUGAGUUGUAUGUUUUUAUUUUGGUGUUGUCCUAUUGUGCCCUCCGUGUCACACAAGCGUGAGGGAUUCCCGCUGUAGGGUGUUGCAAUGCGUUCAUGUUUGCUUAUAGUGGGUUGCUUGAGUGACAGGAGCAUAAACCCAGGUAAGGGGGUUGUUGCGUAUGGGAUAAAGGGGACUUGAUAUGUUAAAUGCUAUGCUUGGGUUUUACCUUAAUGAUCUUUAGUAGUUGCAGAUGCUUGCUAGAGUUCCAAUCAUAAGAGCAUAUGAUCCAAGAAGAGAAAGUAUGUUAGCUUAUGCCUCUCCCUCAUAUGAAAUUGCAAUAGAUUACCGGUCUUGUUAACAAUUGCCUAGGAUAAUUCUGCACACUGACCCAUCAUUAUUCCACACUAGCUAUUUAUAUUAUUUAGUAAUAUAUUCUAACUUUAUGAUAACAGCAUCUACUUUUAUAUUUUAGCUCUCCGAUAUCAUGCAAAGUUAUAUUCUUCAUACCCACAAUGUAGUUUUAUUUCUCAUUCUAGUUGGAAGCAAACGUUCGGUGUACGUAGAGUCGUAUCAGUGGCAGAUAGGACUUGAGAGAAUACUGAUCUUACCUUUAGCUCCUUUUCGGUUUGACACUCCAUACUUAUCACUUCCACCUUUGGGAAUAGCUACGAUGAUUCCCUGCACUUGGGGAUUAUCAAGCUCUUUUCUAGCGUCGUUGCCGGGGAGCAAUAGCGUGGGGUUGAUAUUCUCGUGUAUGCUUGUUUUCUUUCUUCACUAAGUAGUUUUGAUUUUCCCUUUUUGUUUUGCUUAGUUGUGGGUGAAACAUACAAUUUUUAAAAAAAAA
This 61575-nucleotide long non-coding RNA is filed under the name Triticum aestivum (bread wheat). RNAcentral's name for it is "long non-coding RNA (TAES_LNC016221)". The stretch from base 648 to 782 matches the Rfam family "MIR1120/MIR1122 microRNA precursor family". The record is from RNAcentral. Lineage: Eukaryota; Viridiplantae; Streptophyta; Magnoliopsida; Poales; Poaceae.